Molecule: long non-coding RNA, 75719 nt
Filed under: Ananas comosus (pineapple)
Lineage: Eukaryota; Viridiplantae; Streptophyta; Magnoliopsida; Poales; Bromeliaceae
Description: long non-coding RNA (ACOM_LNC008502)
Source: RNAcentral
AAACUUCAAAAACCCCCUUAUGGUUUCAAUUUUUUUCACUUUAGUACCUUGUGGUUUAAAAUAUAUCAAAUUAGUACCAUGUGGUUUCUCACUUUAUCACUUUAGUACCAUGUGGUUUAAAGUGUAUCAAGUUAGUACCCCGUGGUUUUGCACUUUAUCACUUUAGUCACAUGUGGUUUUAAUUUUGUAUCAAGUUAGUACCCUGUGAUUUUUUAAACCAUAGGAUACUAAAGUGAUAAAGUGUGAAACUACAGGGUACUAAAGUGAUAAAGUGAGAAACCACAGGGUACUAACUUGAUACACUUUAAAUCACAGGGUACUAAAGUGAUAAAGUGAGAAACCACAUGGUACUAACUUGAUACACUUUAAAUCAUAGGAUGCUAAAAUGAAAAAGUGUGAAACCACAGGGAUUUUUUUUGAAGUUUUCCCUUUGUUUUUUUAUUAUUUCAUGGAAAAUGUGUGCGUCAUUGAUGGGUUUGGUCACACGACUCACACCUCGACCUCAUUGGAUAACCAAGUCAAUAAAUAAAUAAAUAAAUAAACUAGUGAAUAAUUGUCACCACAAAGACAAUUUUUUUUUUCUUUUUAUAUAUUUUUAAAAUAUUCUAAUACUUUAAACUGUGAAAAUGAUGUCACCACACCUUUUUGUGAGACACACAUUCUCUUGCUUCUUCACUCAUUUGUCAUUACUCUUUUAGCCUUAGUUUAUUUUAUAAUUUUUUUCACAGUAAAUAUAAAAUUUUGUGAGACCCCCUCAACUAUAGACUAAUUUGAAAUAGGCUCGUCAACUUUAUUGAUAAAUUGCAAUUUGACCACUUAUGCAUGCUUUCGAUUUAUAAUUCGAGUAAGCAAGAAAAAAAAAUAAGGGCAGACUUCAAAUACCACUCCUGUGAUUUCGUAUUUUUUUAUUUUAGUAUCCUAUAGUUUAAAGUGUAUCAAUUUAGUACCUUAUAAUUUUAUUUUAUUUUAUUUUUUUCGUCAUCACCUCCGUUAACAUUUGGUAAAAUUAUAUACAAAAAAGUAUAAAAUACCCCACCGAAAUUUACUGAAUAUUCAUUUUAGCAUCUUUUAAUUUUAACUUUAUCACUAAUUUAACGAAAAAAAAAAAUAGUGGAAGGGAUAAUAAAAAGAGAAAAGUGAAACCACGGGAUACUAAAUUGAUACGCUUUAAAUCACAGGAUACUAAAGUGAGUAAGUGCGAAACCACAAGAUAAUAUUUGAAGUUUUCCGAAAAAUAUGGACCAAAUUGUAAUUUUACAAAAGAUUAAGGUUUAUAAAUAAAAAUGGUGGCGAUGGUUCUCUUCUUUAAUGAGGAGUAUGAGAUAAGCACACAAUGGGUAAUAAAAGUUGAUGUAGCAAAUCAAAGUGUAUAAAGAGGACAAAUUUGUGUUCUCGAGGACUCUCAUAUGAUUAAUUGUAUUAUAUUUUGUAGCUUUAAUAUAUAAUAAGUCUCAAAUCUCUUUGAUGUUGAUUCCUCAUAAGAUUUUGUGUUUGGUUCCCCAGAAAAGAAAAAAAAAAGUUUUUUGUUUGAAAAGUAUUUUUCGACAGUUUGAUUUCCACAAAAAAAAAAAAAAAAAUUCUAAAAAAGGUUUUUUUUUUCUUUCAGAUUUUAUGAAAAUGUCUUUUUUUUAUUUGUUUUCUGAAACUUUUAUCCAGCAAAAUAAAAAUUAUAAAAGAUAAUGUUUUAUUAUUAAGGAAAAUAGUACCAUUCUUAAAAAAAAAAAAAAAAAAAGGUUGGAAUGAGAGAGGAAUCCUUUAUUAAAGGGUUAAUUUUAUAAGGAUUCCUGCAAACAUAGUGAAUAACAAAUAUAUCCCUAUAAAGUUUAAUUUUUAUAUAUUGUUUCAGCAAAAGUUUUAAUAUUUUUAAAUAUGUUCUGCUGAUUUAUUAUCGUUAAAGAACCGCCAGAAAACUGUUUAUAUUUUCAAUUUUAUCAUUACAAAUAUGUUCCUUAAAAAGUCAUAACAAUAUAAUAUAAGAGAGGUAAAAAUGUCAAAAAGUAACUAAGGUUAAGUAUUUAAUCUAUAGUUAACUAAAUUUUUCUAACAGAUUCUAACGGCAGAGACAUAUUUGAAAACAUCAAAAUUUUUACAGAGAUAACAUAUGAAAGUUGAACUUUGUAGAGAUAUAUUUGCAAUUUACUAUAUUUACAGGAACCUGUAUAAAAUUAACCUUAAAUUUAUUAAAUAUGAGAAACUAUACAUGCUUUAUUAGAAAAUUCUCAUCUAGUCCAAAAUCCAAAUAUAUACAUAUUGUGAUAUAAUUUUUGGAGCCUACUUACCUAAAAGCUUAAGCCUUUAUUACUCUUUAGACUAUUAUUGAAACUAAAACUACCAAAACUACUGUUACCUUUGAUUGGAGUAGAAAAACCUAAACUAAGCUACUCAGUUCUCGUUACGAACACGAAAGUAUUUUUGUUUUUGAAUCGCGCAAAUUAUUUAUAUAUUGUUGUUGCAGAAAAUGAGGGGUCUCUCCUUCAUCAUAUGUUUCUAUGGCCUGCACACUCUAAUUAAAUCCGAAUUCGACUUUUCUAAUAAGCAUGAAUAUGAAAUUAAUAAAAAUAAAAUUAUGAUAAUUUCCGCCGAAUAUUCCAAAAAUCAAAAUCCUAAAGAAGAUUAUAUCGGAUGACCGAAAUAUCACGCUAACAAUAGUCUUUUAUUCAAAAAAAAAAAAAAAAAAAACAAUAGUCUUUUAUUUUGUUUUUCCUGUGAGUCAAUAGAUUCUUCUUUAAACGUGACCUUGACUAUUGCGCCACCAUUUAUUCAGUGGCCCCGUAGCUUUUAAUAAAAGUAAUCAAUAGUUUUUAAAUUAUUAUGUUGGAAAUUUGCUACAUUAUAUUGAUACAGGAUUUUCUCUGGCACUAAUUUGUUAUGACAAAAGUGAAAAAAAUUUAGUUCGUCGAGCGUGAAAAUAUCAAAAAAAAAAAUUGAGAAAGAGAGAGAGAAAAAAUAACCCACACAAAUACUUUUGCGGUUCAACCACUGACCUAUGCCUACGGGCAAAGAUGCAAUAGAGAUUUUCAUUAUAAUUAGAAUAGUAUACAAAAAUAUGUCUCUCUCACAAAAUUUUAGUCUAAAAAGAUAUACGCGUACUUCUUCUCGUUUGCUUAACCAAAUUAAUAGAAUAAAGGCGUAAUUAUAAUAGUGACUAAACCCUAAUAAGAUUAGAAAUACAAAUCCCCUAAGACUAGAAAUAACCUCAAUAAGAUUAGAUAUAAUCUAAACUUAACUUAAUGAAUAGUCAGAACAAAACAAGGUUUUAGAAAACUUUACAGUUCCAGAAUUCGAGACAUAUAUAUCUUACAAUCUUCAUAUUGACUUGAAUUUUAUUUGUCUUCUCCACUAAAUCUCCAAAAGCUCGUGAAAUGCUGCUUUUCAUACAAAUCAAGUUUAUAAUUUCAGAAUUCAAGAUACAUUUAACAUUUCAGCUCUAAUACCAAUUAUUAUAAAUAGAUCCGGCCUAAUCAAAGCCCAUAUGCCCAAGAGUGUUACAUAUCUGACAUAUUGACUGUUUCAUAUUAUUUAACAUGCUAUCAAAAUAGAAUGUUCCGAGUUCGAAUCAUACGCGAUAAGUAGAAAUCUUCUGCACUAUAGAUUUCCCACUUACUCUCCUAUAACUUAGUGGGGUUCCCAACUAAGAAGUGUAAAGCAAUUGGAAGAAACCAUAAUGAAUUUCAUGAGAAAUAAAUGCAUGCACAUGAAACAAAGUCAAAAGAGGCCACCUUCAUUUUAUCACAAAUAAAGGCAAAUUAUUCUGAUUGGGACUAAUUGUGCCAAUUAAUUUAGGGAUGUUGGGGGGUCAAAUAUGAUAUUUUUUUUACAAUUAAGAGCACAUGUUCCAUUGUGGUCUUAGAUUAAUUUUUAAUUUAUACUUACAUUGUCUUAUUUUGGCUUUGUAGAUGUGUCAUGAAGAUAUGUUCCAAGAAAUCUUUUUCUGACUUAAAUUUGUACUCCAUGGUCUUUAAAAUAUUUACAAGUAAUAAUGAAAACAACAUAAAUAAUUUGUAAACAUAUUGCCUUUUCUUUUUUUUCUCAUUUGUUUAAGAUGUAAAUAUGUAAUGGGGUCAAAGAGCCAAAAAAAAAAACAAACAAAUUGAUGUGAAGAUGUAUGCAUGAAGUGUAACGACCCAGCCCACUAGCAACAAUAACUCAUUGGGUCCAAACCACUAGUCCCCCCCAUUUCCAUCCGAUGUGGGACACCCCCCGUUAAGGCCUUGACGUCCUCGUCAGUCCAAUCACACACAGCCCAAGAUCACCAGGCGAUGUGAGACUCGUCUCGCUAGCCCGUCAUCCAGACCCUGGCUCAGCCAAGACUCGCCACAUAUGUCCAGCUGGUGAACCGGCUCUGAUACCAAAUGUAACGACCCAGCCCACAAGCAACAAUAACUCGUUGGGUCCAAACCACCAGCCCAAAAUGCUUAAGCCUAGUUAUUAUUACUAGUGUCUAAGUCUCUUAUAAACCCAAUGACAACCCCAUUCCCAUUCGAUGUGGGACUAUUGGGGUGUCACAUGAAAAGCCUCUCAACAUUGAUAUACAAUUUUGACAUGAACUUUAUGGACAAUAUUUUCUUUUGUAGUCAUUCCUCAACUCUAUUUAUUUGUUUUGGUUAAACUUAUUGAAUUAAUAAAUUUUAUUCAAAUCACUAUUUCCUUAGCACAUCAAUUUUAUUAAAAUUAAUAAGAAAAUAAAUGUAUCACAGAUACUUCUAUAAAUCUCAUGUGUCUGUGUCAUAUUCGUGUCUGACGUGGACAUGCCAUGUAUAAAUGCACGUUCGAUACCGGUCCACCUAUUGAAAUAAUAUAUAAUUUUUUAUUUUAUUUUGUUUAUGCUUAUGCAUAGAUAUAAUAUAAGAUAAUAACUCUUUUGGCUUUUUGAUGAAUAUACAUAUAUAAUUAAUAUAAAUAAAUUAUGUGCGACGGCAAAUUUUUUUUAAAAAAUAUAUGAACUAUCGGUGAAAAAGUUUUAUUAACUAUCAUUUGCAUGAGAAGUGUAAUAAUAAUUUAAAAAUUAAUAUUUUAUAUAUAAUAAAUAUACUAUAACAUAAAUAAAAUUUAUUUUAUUAGCAGUGUCAAGUAUCUGUAUCCCCUUUUUUUUGAAAAUUACCGAAUUACCGUGUUUGAGCCAUGUCGUAUCCAGUGUUAUGUAUUCCAUAUCAGUGUUCGUGAUACUUAGAUAAAAUAUAUAUUUAUUUCAGCUAAAAGUAAUUUUUAUCCUAAAAUCUAACAAAGAAAUAUCAAUUAAUUUAACCACCUAAUUGAAUUUGACUAAAAUAACUCAUAGCAAAAAAAAUAUAAAUUGAGAAGGUGUUAAACAACAAAAAAAAGAAGUUUAGGAGCCUAUUUCAAUUACAAUUAUGCUAUGGUAUUAAUGGAUUAUGAUUAGGAUUAUCAACAAACAAAAACAACAAAUGGGAGACCGCCACCUGGCAUUCCAUUUUGCCUGUUUAUAGAAUAUAUUAUAUAAUUAAUAUAAAUUAAUUAUGAAUGGACAAAUAAUUAUUAAUUUUUUAGGAAAAAGUUCGUAGACAUUUCAUUAAAAAUGUAGAACUUGAUUUCAACAUAGUCCCUUAUAACAAUUAUAAAGAAAUUAAGUAAAUAUCCAAAUCCAGAAAAUAAAAAAAAAAUAUAUAUUUAAAUACGAUGUCCCAAUUAGGAAUGUCAAUGGGUACAUAUAUCCGAAAUUUUAUCGAAACCCGAAUACGAAUAAAAUGAAUUUAUCUUGUAAUGAACGAAUAUACUUUCGGAUACAAAUAUAAAAAAUAAAAAUACGACGGAUUUGUCUGCACCCAACCUGAGCCCAAAUUAAUUUUACAGUAUAUUAUAUAUAUAUAUAUAUAUAUAUAUAUAUAUGUAUUUAAUGUUUUAUUUGAAUUUAUAUAUUAAAAAUUUAGAUUUAACGUAAUGUAUUUUGAAAUAUAGUAAAGAGAAAAAUUGUUUCGAGUUCGGGUUUGGAGUUUAAGAUUUUUGGUCGGAUUCGAAUUUAGAUAUGCAUUUUAAAAAUCUGUCGGAUUCAGAUUUGAAUUUCGAAUUUAAUUGUUAGAUUUGGGUUUGGAUUUCUAAAAACAGGUCCGAAUCCGACCCGUCGGCAUCCUACUCCAAACCUAAACAAUACAACAGAAGGGGAAAGAGGAAGGAAAUAGUCCCCAAACCUACGCAUCAAAAAUAACAAAACAAUUAAACAGAAACUACAAAAAAAAUAUAAAACAAGAAAAAAAAACUUGUUUAAUUUUAAUUUUAAUUUUAAAUUUUAAAAUUUUAAUUUUUUCUGUAUGUGAUACAUAUUUUAAUUUACUUCAUAUUUUGUUUUAAUUUUUAAGGAAGAAUUUUCAUUUUCAAAUUUUAAGUCAAUGUGUUAGAGGACAAUACACACACGACAAAUUUGUUCCACGUCUCACAAAUUCCUCUGAAUUUAAAUUCCAUUUUGAUUUAUCAGUAGAAGCUUCUUCUUCCGGUGAGCUUCUAGAUAAAAAAUGUGCUCUUCGAGAAAAAUAAAAUUAAAUCAAAAAGAAAUAGAAAAAAGAAUUAAAGGAGUUUUGCGUAAUUUUGAAUUUAAACACCUAUCAUCGAUGACCAACUCGACUAUACUGUACCGUGCCAAUAAAAUAUCGACAUAAUAUAUUUUCUUGUGAGCUCAAAAUUUUUUUUUAAAAUUGUUAAAAAUUAUAUUUAGAGCAAUUAAAAUAUACUAUGAUUAAAACGGAAAGAAUCAUAAGGAUCAUUCUUUUUUUUUGGGGGGGGGUAAAAUAUAGAAUAGUCUAUGUAAAUAUCUAUUUUUAAAUUUUUUUCUUCACUUUCAAAAAUCUAUAUUUUAAUAUUUUUAAAAUUUUCAGUUGACGCAUUUAACUCCCAUUCGUAUCGAUUUUUUCACUACUCCGUCAAUUACUUAUAAUUUAUAGCAAAAAUAUUUUUAAAAAUGACAAAAAUAUGUUAACUAUUUUUCUACAAAAUAAAUAAGACCAAUUUGGUCAUUUCAUUUUUCUAUUAAAGCCAUAAUUUUUUUAAAAGAUUUUUAAGAUUGAGGAUACAUGUAAAUCAUAUACUUUGUCCCCUUCUGACAAGGGCAUUUUCGUCUUUUCACCAAACCAAAACGGGAUAUAAAUAGCGGGAGUGGUCACUCUGUGUGUUGUCCCUCUCCCCCUCUCUCUCUCUCUCUCUCUAAGCAACAAUGGCGAUUCAAAUCCGACCACAUCUCCACCCUCUCAUCCUUGUUUUGGGCAUAACAUGAUAGGUUUGAAUCUCUCCAACCAAAUUCUGUUUAUUUUUUGUAAUUUGGGCAUCUUAUAUGCUAAUCGAGGAGUUUGUGCCGAGUGUUGAACAAUUUGAGCGCAAUUUUUUGGGUUUUUUUCCUUAAGAUUUGGGGAAGUUAAUUUCAUAAACCCUUUUGUGGGUUUAUGGAAUUAAAGUUGCUAACUUAACUCUGAAGCCCAUAAAAAUCGCAUUUUUGGAGCAAUUCCAGUGUUUUAUGCUGGAUUUUGAGUUCAAAAAGAGUAGGUGAAGUGAUAAAGUGAUGUUAGUGUUGUAGAAUUGUAUCUGACUUAUUAUCUGCUGUUGAAUUACCUGAGAUGAGACCCCUUUUUUUGUCCUUUUGAAUUUUAAUUAGUGCUUCUUUUGUUCUUUUUUCCGGCUAAAAUGUGUGGACACUCCCCAAAUUUGGGUAAUUUGGAAACGAGUUCUCAAACUAUAAAUUUCUUUUUGAAUAUGUUUUCAUACCCCCAUAGUUUUUUUUUUUUCACUGAUGAAUAUUCUAUGACUUAAGUGGUAUUUUAGUUAAUAGUUCUGUCAUUCUAAUUAAAUUUAAUAAAAAUUUGUAGAAUAUUCCAUUUAAGUUGUGGAAUAUCCUGUUUUAAACGGUUUGUAGAGUGGUAAUUUGGAUGGAAUUUCCUAAAAUUAGUAGAAAAGUUGGGGGUUGAAACUCAAAAUUUAAAGAUUAGAGACCUAUGUCCAAAAUUGGAGGGGUGUGAAUAACCAUUUUAGCUUUCUUUUGUUGCUAGCACUAGGAUUUUUUAUUGUUUGCUAUGGAUCAUUUUUCAUUUAGUGAGAGGUUUAGUAUAUACUUCUAACUUAAUAAUCAUCUAGACAUAUCGAUGACUGGGCAGUUUUUGUGCUGUUAAUAAUACACCUUAAAUGUAUAUUUCCAUUUAUUAAUUUCAAUCUAUAAAAGUACCUUUUGUUUUACUACAACAUAAGGACCUUUUGUUUUACUACAACAUAAGGACCUAUGUUAAAUUACCGAAAACAAAUGAGUGCUGAUUGUUUGGUAUAUCCAACCUUGUCAUAUAAUCCAUCCAACUUUGUUCUUCUUUUUCUUUCAAUGAAAACAACAUUUGUAGAUAGCAUAAUUAGUGCGUUUAUUGAUAGUUGGUGUAGAAAAUAUGAAUCUUUGGCCUUCGGUCAUUAUGGAGGAAGCCGGCUAGUUGUCACCACUACCUUAUAUUUUGUUCAUUCAGAGUAACCUCAGUUCCAUUUGAAGACACUGAAAGAAAAUAAGAUUGGAAGAAGUACCACGAGAAAUCCGUAGCUUGUAUCUCAAACGUCUGAAGUUUCGGCCAAAAUCUAUUUGGAAAUUUUAAACUAUGACAAUCUUUAGAGUUUCAACAAUUUUCUGUAGUUUUAGGAGAGUUCCAGACUUUUUUUUUUUAUCCCCAGAAUAGUGCGUUCCUUUCAACAACUGAAGCUUAUGACAGAGAAAGCAUAUUUCUCAACUCCAAUGUAGGAAAAUUAUCAUCUGUUCUUAGUUUUUGCAUACUCUUGACAUCUCUGACUUUGCUUUUCAAAUGUUGAUUAGGUCUUCUCAGCAUAAAAGUUAUAUCUGUACUUCAUCAGUGAAUUAGCUGCUUUUAAUGUCGAAUAUAUCAUUUUGCCAAUAGCAGUUUUCUUUUUUUGCUUUUUCAAUCAAUAUUCACCUUUAGAUUUUUCUUAUUCUAAUAAUUUUGAAAAGGUUGUUAUUACUUGAAGUCCAUAAACAACUUUUUAAGAACUGCUUAGUUGGUCUAGUUAGCCACCAAGGGAGAAAGUUCAGGAUUAAUUGGAAUUAUGCUUCCACUCGGUUUUAUCUAGGAUAAUGUUGUAUGGAGUUAAAAAUUGUAGGAAGACCCCCUCAAACAAUAGGCUGUAUAGAAAUAGACUUCUAAGUUAGUGUUUUUGUUUGGCACCACCUCAACUCUUUUUUCUUAUCUUACAUUACUUCUAAAUUGUGGAUUUCAUGAAGUUUGCCAUUGAUUCUGUAAAAUAUAAUAGCUCUAGCUACUUUUCAGAUAAUGAAACUCCGGAUUUCAUUAACAUCUAAAGGUAGUGCUGAUCGUCCCUAGUGCAAGUGGCAAAGGGCCCAAUGAUUGGUAUUCGAGGUCUCAAGUGCAAAGCCUAGUUGCUUUAUAUUUUUAGCUAAAUUCAUUUCUGGAAAAAAUAAUAAUAAUAACAAAGCAGGUAGCAGGCUAGUUUUCUCUCAAAAAAAAAAAAAACACUUAACAGUAGUAGCUAAUGAAGCCAUUUAUUUCAAUGAAUCCCUGAUGUAUGUUUGCUAUUAUCAUUACUGUCUUUAUAGCAUCUCUGCACACCAAUAUUUUGAUGAGAUAUUACAAAAACAUACAACUAGAAGAAAAUAUGUCAUCAAAGCAGCUUUCUAGAGUAACUCAAGCAACCAUCCCUUUAAUCUUUUUGUCACCAAGCUGAUUACUAUUGUUAUUUUCUUUCUUUUUUUUUUUUUCACAGGCCUAAGCUGUAAUUUGGAGAGGCGCGGCAAUUUUUGUAUUAUUUUGACCAAAUUAUCCUCCUCAAUGUUAAAAUUAAUCCCUUUCCUCUAUUUCUCCACUUCUCUUUUCUUUAUCCUUCUACCAUUAUCUACUUCUUUGCCACUUGAAACGCAAGCACUCCUCGACAUAAAGAGGCACUUAAAUGAUCCCAUGAACCAUCUUGCUAGCUGGAACAAAUCUAAUUCUCCUUGUCAAUUUUAUGGUGUCACCUGCGACUUAAGUUCCCAGCACGUGAUUGGAAUUGCACUUGCCAAUUUAUCAUUAUCUGGCUCACUAUCGCCCUCUGUUUCUCUUCUACCAAGUUUAGUUUCUCUAGAGCUUGGAGCAAAUAGCUUAUCAGGAAUUGUACCUUCCGAACUUGCCAACUGCACAAAUCUUCAAGUUCUUAAUCUCUCAACAAACAGCUUAACUGGUAAGGUGCCGGAUCUUUCAGCUCUAAAGAACCUUCAAGGUUUUGACCUGUCAACAAACGGCUUUUCCGGUGAAUUUCCAACAUGGAUCGGGGAAUUAUUAGGCCUAGUCGAGCUGGGCCUUGGAGAGAAUAAUUUUGAUGAGGGGUUUAUUCCACAAAAUAUUGGAAAUUUAAAGAAUUUGACAUGGCUCUUCUUGGGACAAUGUAAUCUCAUUGGCGAAAUACCGGCCUCCAUUUUCGAGUUAACUUCACUAGGAACAUUAGACUUCUCCAGAAACCAGAUCUCUGGGAUAUUUCCAAAAGCAAUUUCAAAUUUGCAAAAUCUCUACAAGAUCGAGCUCUUCCAGAACAAUUUGACUGGAGAAAUCCCUCCUGAGCUUGCAAAGCUCACACUAUUAUCUGAAUUUGAUAUUUCUCGCAACCAACUGAGUGGAGAGAUUCCUCCUGAAAUCGGUAGCCUUAAAAAGCUGAAAAUUUUUCAUCUGUAUCGGAACAACUUCUCGGGUGAAAUUCCUGAAGGAUUUGGGGAGCUGGAGUUUCUUUGGUCAUUUUCCAUCUAUGAGAAUAGUUUUUCUGGAAAAUUUCCUGCAAAUUUCGGUCGUUUCUCGCCACUCAACAGCAUAGACAUAUCUGAGAACAAUUUCUCCGGUGAAUUUCCCAGAUUCCUUUGUCAAAACAACAACCUUCAAUUCUUGCUCGCUCUUGAUAAUGACUUUUCGGGUGAAUUUCCAGAUUCUUAUUCAUCUUGCAAAACUUUGCAGAGGUUUCGAAUUAGUCAGAACCACUUCACCAGGAAAAUCCCCGACGGUAUCUGGGGAUUGCCAAAUGCAGUAAUUAUUGAUGUAGCAGACAAUGGUUUUGUUGGAGGGAUUUCUUCAGACAUAGGAGUUUCAGCUAGUCUAAAUCAGUUAUAUGUUCAAAAUAACAAGUUCGUUGGGGAGCUUCCUCCUGAACUGGAGAAUCUGUACCAGUUGCAGAAACUUUUUGCUUUUAAUAACAGCUUUUCUGGCCAAAUCCCUUCUCAAAUUGCCUCCCUCAAGCAGUUAUCAUCUUUGCAUUUGGAAGGAAAUGUCCUUACAGGACCAAUUCCUUCGGAAGUCGGGUUGUGUACUAACCUGGUAGACCUAAAUCUUGCACAAAAUUUAUUGGGAGGUACUAUUCCAGAAACACUAGAUUUACUUACUUCCCUCAAUUCGCUCAAUCUAUCCCAAAACUAUCUCCGCGGCUCAAUUCCAGAGGGUUUGCAAGCAUUAAAGCUAAGUUAUGUCGAUUUUUCCAAUAAUCAAUUAUCAGGAGGGAUACCACCAGAGCUUCUGCUAAUAGCUGGUGAAGAAGCAUUUUCUGGAAAUGACGGGCUUUGUAUUGAAGAGAUUCCCAGAACCCAGAAAUACUCUAGUUUAAGUUUUUGCAAUUCGAAUCAUGGCCGCAAUGGUGUUUUGGGAAGGCGAGUAGUUCUUAUGAUAAUCAUCUUUGUAGUAUUGAUUGUCCUUUUAGCUGGCCUGGCAUUUGUGAGCUAUGAAAGCUUUAAGCUCGAAGAACGUCGCAAAAGGAGAGAUUUUGAUGAGUGCAAAGGAAAAGAUUCAAAGUGGGUACUCGAAUCUUUUCAUCCAAUGGAGCUUGAUCCAGAGGAAAUAUGUAAUCUGGAAGAGGAUAAUUUGAUUGGAAGUGGAAGCGCAGGUAAAGUUUAUAAAUUGGAUUUGAAUAAAAGCCGAGGAACUGUUGCUGUAAAGCAAUUAUGGAAAAAUGAUGCAGCAAAAGUACUAACGGCAGAAAUAAACAUUUUGGGAAAGAUCAGGCACAAAAAUAUAUUGAAAUUGUAUGCUUUGCUAAGAGUAGGGGGAUCAAAUUUUCUUGUUUAUGAAUAUAUGCCGAAUGGCAAUUUAUAUCAAGCUCUUCGAAGGGAAUUUAAAGGUGGGCAGCCAGAGUUGGAUUGGAAUAAAAGGUAUAAGAUUGCUGUGGGGGCUGCAAAGGGUAUUAUGUAUCUUCAUCAUGAUUGCUCUCCGCUCAUUAUUCAUAGAGACAUAAAAUCCACUAAUAUAUUGUUAGAUGAUGAGUAUGAUGCAAAAGUUGCUGAUUUUGGAAUAGCAAAGAUUGCAGAAGGGUCGGAGCUCAGUUGUUUUGCUGGUACUCUUGGUUAUCUUGCUCCUGGUAUGCUUGCUGCUAGAGUGUAUGCACUCAUUUUUUUUUAAGUUCUUUCCCUUUUCUGAUUUAUUCCUUGCUUUACCCUGUCCUGUAGGGAAUUAAAAGAUCAGAGUAUUCAUCAGUACGCGCCAUUUUAUGUUGAUUUGAUUUUGUACAGAAGUUAAUUGGAAUUUUAUCCAUUUCUCAAACUAAGAAGCAUACAUUAUUAGUGUGUAUUCUUUAUUAACAAUUUAGAACAUGUGAAGUAUAACUUUGCUGUCAUGGUUGCAUUUCACCGCAGCAUGUAUCACAUAUAGAGAAGAAAUCGAUAUAAAUUUUUGCUCAUGAUAUUCCUUCCUAUUUCAAGAACAUAUGUUUGAUUUUUUCCCUUACUAAUUUUAAUUGCACAUAAUGUUUCUCAGAGCUUGCAUACUCUCUCAAGGCAACAGAGAAGAGUGAUGUCUAUAGCUUCGGUGUUGUCUUACUGGAAUUGCUCACAGGCCGCAGUCCAAACGAUCCUCAAUCCGACAAUGGAGAAGAUCUCGUCUGUUGGGUAUUGACUCGCCUAGACGGCCAAAACUUCUCAAAAGUCUUUGACCCAAGGGUGUCUAUUUAUGCAGAAGAAGAUAUGCUGAAAGUUCUAAAUAUAGCCAUUCUCUGCACGAAUAAGUUGCCGUCGGUGCGGCCUACCAUGAGAGAAGUAGUCAACAUGCUUAUUGAUUCUGGUCCUUGCUCUAUCAGGAAGAGAGCAAAGAGCUUUGGUAAUAACUGCUAGCUUUUCCUUAAGCAGCUCUUUUUGUAUAGGGGCGUUUACACAAAUAUCCCUGCAUUUAGUUACAUAGAUCCUAUGCGAAUUCCGAAUUCUCAAUACAUUCCCCAUGCAGCUCUUUGAAAGAACCUUAUCUUUAAGUUGGGCAGUCAUCGGAAUCCCUGGAGGGUUGAAGCUUGUUGUGAAUCUAAAAUGAAUCUAAGUGCGUCAUUUUCAUAACUACAAGAGCAUAUGCUUUAAUGAUCUUUGAUGAAAACUCAGAUUUUGCAGGGAACUGUGUAAACAGAGAAUCUGUAGGGAUGUAUGUGUAAAUUACCCAUGUUGUAUAAUAUCAGUGUAGUAAUGAGAAUGUUUAGGUAGUCUAGCUCAUGUACAAGAUAUUCAGUUUUAGAAUUGCUUCUUUUAUUGAUCUAGGAAAUGCCGUAGGAGGCAUUUGGUAUCAAUUUAGGACUCAACACUUGUAUUUGAUCAUCUGUAUGCUAGCAAUAGAUUUUCUUUUCUUUUUUUUAUUUCUCAAGCCCUAUGAACCAUGGAUAUGGUCCUGUGGAUAUCCGGUACAGGCGCGAUGUUACGACAAACGCACAAACGGAAACGAAAUGACGAACACAAACACAAUCAAACCAUAAGCAGAAAAAAUAAAGAGACACAGAUUUACGUGGAAAACCCUUUGCAGGGAAAAACCACAGGCGAGGGAGGAGAGAUCUUCACUAUGGAACGAAAAAGGGAAUACAAAGUUCUUCAGGUUACAACCAACCACGAUCACACGCCUCUAGGGCAUAAACGAUAAACGAAAAGAAAAAACUCAUAACGGGUUUCGGAUCCGAUCCGUACCGCGGGGGGCUGUCGGCCCGAGCCCUCCGCUACCCACCACAGACAUUCAUUUUUCCUCCAUAAUUUUCUUUUCUAAAUUGGUCGCACCGCGAAGCUGUCGGCAAGUCGUAAACCCGAACCUGAAUCGAUAGUAGAUUUCGAGUCACAUCUAACACGCGACAUGAGAUGCAGGAUACAAUAUGGUCAGAAUAUGCGUACGACAUGAAAGUUGAUCUACACACAUAUCAACAUAAUCUUAUGUCCUACAUGCAUGCAUUUGCACAUACAUACUAGAUGAUACCUGCAGCUGUGGGUAUAUAAAGAACUUCUUUGAUAGGUAAACACUAACUGACAAUCUGUUUCAUGUAAUAGUAAAAUGAUUGUUUUGCUCUAAAUACUUGACAUCAACAAAGGUAUCUCCAAUAUAUAUGACAACAUAAAAACAAAAUUUCCAUUGAUAAAGUAAAUACAUAGAACAUUAGAAUAUUCAAUCUAUAAAUCGUAAUGCAUUAUUGUCAUAGUGGAAGUAAAUUUGAGGCUCUUUAAUGACCUCUAUAGCCUUUCCAACAUAAAAAUGAGCAAGAAUUUUUUAAUAUGUUCUGUGGGGCAUUUUCAUUUAAUAAUUUUUAUUUACAAUUAACUAUCUACUGGGUCAUGAAUGUGGAUUGGAUCGGAUGGCUUGCAUGGUAUCACUUGUUGCAGGAUGAGAGUGGAUCAGCUAGUUAAAAAACAAUGCAGUCGAUUAAAAUGAAAGCCAACUAAGAGGUACGUAAAGUCUAAUUGUCAUAAAUCGAAUUACUCUUUCACAUUCAAUAUAUUGUAAUAAGUUGUCAACAUGGUGAAUCUCUACUGUGAUCUUUCUCUUCUGUUUUCUUCUGAUGUAAAUGUAAUGAUAGAAGAUGAGAUCUCUUCUUAGUAUCACUUGAAAGGUAUAACCCCUAGUGGUUUUUUUUCCUACUGUUAUGAUGAUUCCCUUUUCUCUUUUUUUUUUUAAAUUUUUUUGUUCUGGUGAAUUAAGGAUUCGACCUUGUGCUCUUCCACAUUUUUCUGCUCUCAUUUUUCGCUUUACGAGCUUUUUCGAUCUACAAUCCAAUGUACCUUUCAAGACCUAACAGCCCGUAUUAUAUUAGAUUAAAGUCCUCCCUUUCUCUCGAUUGUGUCGCUCCUGCUGGUCUCUUCAGAACAAGGUUUUAAGUGCCCGUCGGCACGAGCCGUAUCCACCGUGCCGUACCGUGCCAACAAGAUACCGGCACGAUACAGACCCCGUGCCGACGGCACAGUUCAAAACCCUCUAUUCUUUAAAUUAGUAAGUAAUUUCCUCAAUAAAGUUCAAAAGAUGUGAUAAAAAGACAUAAUAAAUAGUUAGAAUAUUUUGUUGCUAAAGAAAAUAAAUAUUUCAUGCUAUUAUGUGUCGGCACACAAGGUGUUUUUUUUAUCGGCACGCACCGUGCCGGCAAGUUUCCGGCACGACCCCGUGCCAUGGCACUUAAAUCCUUGCUUCAGAACUCUUAUUUUUGAAACCCUCAAUAAUAUUUCUCCACCAAUAUAUCUAUCAACCAUGAUUCCUAGUAGUUUUAUUAUAACCUUAUAUGCCACUAUUUGCAACCUAUAUAAGCCCCCUCAAAACUAAACUUUUUUUUUUAAAAAAAUUCAAGUUAGAUUCCUCAUUCCUAUGCUAUAUUCGAGUAGAAUGCAAGGAGUCUCUCUUAGGGUGCGUUUGGUUCGCAUUAUAAAAGAUUACUAGGAAUAAAAGAUAUCCGAGAAUCUUAUUACUAUUCAUCCUAUUACUAAGAAUGUGGAAUUCCUGUGUUUGGUUCACACAGUAAUAUUAAUUAGCCAUGUUAUUUAAUAUUACAAAAAUUAUACAAUUAAUUAAUUUAUUUAUUUAUUUAAUUUUAGAUAAUGUUACCAAAAGUUUCAACAUCUUUUUAGAAAAAAGAGAGAGAGAGUAUAAGUUAGAGAGAGAGAGCAUAAUUAAAAAAAUAGAAAAAAAAAUAUAGUCGAAAUUAGAGGAAGUGAGAGAGUUGAAAUUUUAGAAAGAGAGAGAGAGAGAAAGCUUAGUUUAGAGAGAGAAAAAAAAGUUGAAUUUUAGAGAGAAAAAUAAGUUUAGAGAGAGAUGUAAGGUUAGAGUGUAAAGAAAAAUAAUAUCAAUUAGCCGGCGGGUAGGAAGAAAGAAAGAGAUUAGACAUAUUAUGAUUACCCCAAUCCAUUAAUAUGAGGAUACCCACCCUCCCUCAAGGGAAUGAGAUUAGUACUUUGGGGUGAAUCUUAUUCCCAAGUAAAUCCAAUAUUACCAACUAGAUUACUUAGUGCGUUUAGCCAAACAUCGUCAUAUUUUUUUAUUCUCAUUGGAUUACUAGGAAUCUUUAAAAGAUAGCGCGAACCAAACGCACCCUUAAGGUAAAGUUUGUAAUGAAAAGACCAAGCUGGUAUUCUUUUUCUUUCUUCGAUAGUCCGAAAUUACCAAAAUAUGAUAAUGAAGCUUUCCUGCUGGAUUAUUCUGGUGCCUGGGUGGUCACAUUCUCGUAGGCCCCCAGAAAAGGAAAAAAGAAAAAUUGUGUCACAACAAUGGAAGCAACGCAUAUAUUUAUGUAUGAAGCAACAAACAGAUGAUGGAGUAGUGUCAAAGAAUUGCUGUUAGAAUGUCAUUUUACAUGCUAAUCAAAGAGUUAUCUUACGACAAGCAUUGACAAAUCCACAUUUUUCAUCAGGUUACUGUUACUAUUAAUAAAUUGAUAGUUGUACAUGUAUGUAUUGUUUUUAGUGGACUUGUUUAGUUGGAAAGGCAUAUUCUUUCCCUCUUUAUUAAGUUAAUGUGCAGGAAAUGUUAUUAUUCAAGUUUUCUACUUCCCAUAGCAUUCUCUCUUUAUAUAUUUUUAUGUAAACCUGGAUAAAUGUGUGUCCCACUUGUUGCAGGAUGCAAGUUUUGUUACUGUUUGAUUUUAUCCAGAAACAUGUACUUGAUAUCAGCAUUCCACAACAAAGCCUUCGCUUUCUUAGAUCAAAAUUACGCGACACCAGUCGCGUUCUGCGGUAUGAAUUCAGAGCUUUUCAACUCAAUUGAUGUCUCAAAUGAAUAGUGAUUUGAUUAUACUGAUAUCUGAAAACUCUGCUUAUAUGAUAUAAUGCCUGAACAAUAUCUCUGUUGCUUGGUUUUCUCUGGAUUGAGGUUGAAUUAGUCGGCCUUCAUGUUGAAAACUUUAUACAUCAAAUUGUGCGAAUUCGAAUGCACUCAGAGCUGAUGCAAGAGACUCUUGAAUUUCGUUUUUCUUUUAACUGUACUCUAUGCCCUAAACCCCUUUUACAUAAUCAUAUCAAUGAAUAUGAUUCAGCACAAUGAUCUAAACUAUUAUACAUUAUUAUUUGGGGUUAACAUUCUUUCUAUGCUGUGAUUUUUUGGAGCCAAUUUUUGAUGAUAGUUAUGUUUGCUUGUUCUCCUUCUCUUUAGAACAUUAUUUCUAGAGGAGGAUUAAAUUUAUUAGAUCUAGUGUUCUAAAUUGAUUGUUUUUUUUUUAAGGAAUAAUUGCCUAUAUACCCCUCAAAACUUUGAAAAUAUCUCAUUUGUCCAUACUAUUUUUUUUUUUCCAAUGUACUCCUCAUAUAUUCCUCCGUUAUUUCAGAAUAUUCCUAUAAUUAUCACCCGUUAAGUUAACUUAGGUUAAAUAUGAGUUAAAUAUUUAACAGAGUUAAAAAAAUAAUAAUGGCAAAUAAGAUAUGUUUGUGAUGAUAGAAGGGUAACUUAAGGGCAAAUGAGAAAUGUUUGUAAUGAUAGAAGGGUAACUUAAGGGUAAAUAAGAAAUGUUUGUGAUGAUAGAAGGGUAUAUUUGAAAAGAACAAAAAAUUAAAAUAUUUUUUUUGCCCCUAACUUAAUGGCAAAUAAAAAAAGUCAGUGAUGGUAGAAGGGUAUAUUUGAAAGGGCAAAAUAGUAAUUUUAUAGAAAUAACAGCUACUGCUAACAAUCUUUUUUUUUUUUUUUGAGAAAGGCAGCACGCUACCUGCUUCAUUCAUGCUAUCGCUAACCGUUCAUAAAUAGAAUUUAACUCUAUGGGUAUAUUUGAAAUAUGUUGAAAUGUAAAAAAGGUAUUUGAAAUAUUAGCCUUCUCUAAGGAGGAUAAAUCAGAAAAUCGAGAAUUUUUCAGGGGUAGAUAAGUAGUUGCCCCUUUUUUUUAAAUACCAAUCAAAGAGAAAAAUGUUGUGGCAUGAUUAAUUGAAUUUGGGGUUACAAAGAAAGCAAUUAAUAUUCGACGGAAGCACAAGUGGCAAAGGGCUUGGUGGUUGGUAUCCGAGGUCCCAAGUUCGAAUCCUAGUUGAUUCACAUUUUCAGCUAAGUUUAUUUCUAAAUAAAAAAAUAUUCGAGGGAUUGUGAUGUUGCUUGGACGGUUCAUACUCUCUAUUAUUAUUAUUAUAUAUAUAAUUUGAUUACUUAUUGACUUAGACUGGUCAAACCCUAUCACAUUAGAGGAGAGCUAACAAGUGGUUCAAAUUAUAUGUUUAACUCUUUAAUUUUAAUUUUAAUUUAUAUUCAAAAUUCAAAUUCCACACCUAAAUUUCGACCUUAAGUGUGAAUUUAACUUUUUUUAUUUAAAGAACUUCAAAUGGUUUAGUUAUCCAUUUAAUUUAAAUUCAUAUUUUAAAUUAAAGGGUUUGAAAUUUUUUGACAAUAAUUUAUAAAUUUUAGAAAAGAUUUUUGUUUACUAUUUGACAAUAAUAACAUCACAUGAUUAAAUCCUUCCCUCGUGAAGUCACGUAGCCCAUGGACUUUUUAACCAAUGAGGUAAUGCCACAUGCCUAUAGAAAAGUUUGGAUGUGCCCGGUUCACAAUAAACCGACUAUAAAUUGUACAUUAAAAAUAAAAUGUCGAUGAGAUAAUAAAUUAUUUAAAUAUUUUUAUUAUAUUAUAUUUUAUCUUAUAUUAAAUAUUCCAUCAAUUAUAUAAUAUUCUGUGCAGUAUACGAAAAAUUAGUAUGUAUUAGAUGCAAACAAAAAUUUCUCCUUUCUUUUGAAAUUAUAUGUGUACCGUACUAAGCAUUUUCUGCACCCGGAUAUAUUUAUGUAUAUUUGCCACAUGCUCAACAUUCUUUAAUAGAGAUUUUUAAAUUAAUACAUCAAAUAUAAUUUAAAUUAUUAGACUUUAUAAAUAAGGUAUAUUUAAUUAAUUUUUUGAUAAUGGAUCAUUAGUCAUCUAAUAUAAAUUGUAGCGUGUAGAGUAAUAAUAUGCACCAGAUAUAUGCAAUAUUUGCUUCUCUUCUAAUUAAUUUUAAUAAGGUAAAAGACAAUCUCACCUAUUCAUUAAUUUGAUUUGAAAUAAGUUCUUCAAUUUUAAUUUUUUAAUUAAAAAAAUUUACUUACAGGAUGGCCAUAAAAUUAUAAAUUUUACUAGUAAAGUUUUAAAUAAAAUUUUUAAAAUAAUUCAACUCUAUAAAUAUUAAAAUUUAAGAAAAUAUUAUUAUUUUUUUAAUGUAUAUAGGACUAUUUUAUAAUUUUUUUAUAUUUUUAAUAUAUUUUUUAUUUUUAAAAUUUUAAUAAUUAUAUAUUUUAAUUGGCUGAAAUAUUAUCUACCCGCCGCGAAGCACGGGUCCUAUACUAGUUUAGAAAUAUAAGGUACUCACCACUCUCUAAAGUUAAUAAAAUUAGAUCUUCAGAAAAAAAAAAAAAAAAAAAAAAAAAAAAAAAAAACUGAGCUAGUUUGAGGAGCCAUGUCGGCGAGCUCUCCGGCGCCAUCGAGUGCCGACAACACUUGGUACUNUUUAUGAUUAGAUUUUGUGGGUCACAUCAGAUUUAAAUUGUAAAUUACUUUUAUUAAAGAACAAUUAAUUUGAGGACUAAAAUUUAGACAUUGGUGCACCUGGUUUGGUGUAGCCAAUAAUUUUGCCCUCUCCAUCCAAGGUGGUUAGUAACAUGGCAUUUUUAUGGUGGCGACGUGGCACUGCCAGGGUGUCAUGUCACUGUCAAAUUAGUAUGCACUUGUUGAUUGAGUGAUCACAUCCCAGCCCACUGAAUAUGCUCCUCGCCGGACGAUCCUACAGCUCAUUUGAUGAUAAAAUAUAUUUAAAAUUAUUGAAUUAGUCGUAGGAUGAACGACGAGAUGUAGACGAGCGUGAAAUUGAGUAAUGGCGGGACUGGUUAGCGCGCGUGUGUGUGUGUGUGCAGAAAAAUUAUAUGCAUGCUCUGAAUAGAUUAUCAAAUCAUACUUAGGAGCUGUUUGAAGAUAAAACUUAAGUAGAGAGCUCUCUAAUGGCACUUUGUUGGAAUCCUCGUAUUCACUGUCAUGUGUUAAUUUUGCUUUCACAAAGACAAAAUUAAUAUAUGGCAGCAAAUCCGAGACCCCUCGAUGGAGCUCCAAAAUAAAAUUUUUCUUGCCGUUUAGUACGAGAUUUGUAAUAUUUUUAAAAUAUUAUAUAUUUAAUAUCCAGAAUAGAACUACUUUACUAAUAUUUUUCGCAAUCAUUGAACAUGAGUUAAAUAGUAAUGAUUCGAAUAUUAUCAAAAAAAUAUAUAGAGAAUUAUUGGAACAAAGCCAAACAUGCCAUCACAUUGAUGAUCCAAUCAUAUGAUGGGAUGAUGAACCCAAUAAUAGAACUUGAUUGGAGUGAUUAGGAAAGAUCAAACUAAAAAUUAUAUUAAAAAAAUAUAUAUAUAUUAUAUCAAAUCAAAGUUUGGGGGUUUAGGUGUGAUCCGUCUCAUAGUUUGAAUCCGAGUUGUGCAAUUUAUAGCCCAUAGUUAUUAUUUGAUUCAAAGCUUGCUUGAAUCUCAUAGUGUUUUAAUAGCUACAAUCUUAAAUAAAGUAUUUUGCGUAGAAAAAAGAAAAAAAAAAUGUUUAAAGUUUUUGCUACGUCGAAAAGUAGAAAUAAGAGUACAAGCAUCAAAAACAGAAAUUUGAUGUUUUAUUUGGUAUUGUUGCUAUUUUUUUUUUUUUUUAACUCUGUAAGCAUUACAUUAAUUCUAUAUAAUUUGAUAUAUCGUUGAAUGGACAGUUCUAUUGCUGUCAUAGUUGGUUAGGUUGCUACGUCCCACUCCACUCAAGCAAAAUGACAAUUUUACAAAUCUCUUUGAAUCCCAAAAAGAGCUAUUUCUAAAGUUUUAUUUUUUUAUUAUCAAACAAACAAUUUAGACAUAAAAAUUAGAAUAAACUUUAAAUAUCAUCCCUAUAAUUUUGCACUUUCUCAUGUUAGUACCCUAUAGUUUAAAGUGUAUCAAUUAGUAUUCUGUAGUUUUAUUUUUCUCUUUUCAUCAGCUUCUCAGUUAAUAUUUCGUUAAAUUAUAUACAAAAAAUUUCAGAUACCCUACCUAGAUUUAGCGAAUAUUCACUUUAGUACCUUUUAGUUUUAACUUUAUCACUGAUUCAACAAAAAAAAAUUAGUGGAAUAAAAAAAAAUGAGAAAAAUGAAAACACAGAGUAUUAAAUUGAUACACUUUAAACCACAGGACACUAAAGUGAGAAAGUGCAAAACCACAGGGAUGGUAUUUGAGGUUUUUUCUAAAAAUUAUAAGCAAUUCACGAUUCCAUCUUACAGUAUUUUUUAUGUUAGGAAAUUUAUUUGGAAAAACUAAAAUUACAAUGAAUGGUUGCAUUAUGAUUUAAAAGCAAGUUGUUAAGGAAAUUCAAAUGCAGUAAUUCCACUAAAUACUAACUAAUAGAACCAUGUAUAUCUUACAGCAGAGCCAAACAAACUCUAAACCAUAUUGUAAUGAAAAUAAAAUUAAAAAAAAUAAUAUGCAAACUAAUAAUUUUUUUAAAAAAAAGUAAAGACGUAUCGAACUUACCAGAACUAUGAAUCAUUUUUGAAUCUACUGUCCGACCUUUCAAAUUUUUGAUUUUAUUAUAUUACCUUUUAAUUUGUUUGAUUUGAGUCAGUCGAUAACACUUUAGACUUUAAAAUUUAAGCUAAUUACUUAUUUAUAUUAAUAAAUUUAUAGCUGUAAGAAGUAUGCUAAUUAAAUCUAUAAAAAUAAACGAAGAUGGAUUCAGAUUUUGAAGUUAAAGUAAUCUCGACGGACUCAACUCAAAUAAAUUGAAAAAUUGGAUAGUAAAAUCAAAAUAUUGAAAGAUUUGAUAGUCGGUUCAAAAUAGUCCAUAAUUCAAAUAAGUUCUGUACUUUAUUAUUUUUUUUUAAAAAAAAUGUAAUACAAAGGUCAAACCCUUAACAAAUUAAAAAUGUAUUUUGUGAAGUUUCUCUUCAUUGGGUUGUGCUAAGACUCACCAACCCUGCAGAGUAGAGAUUGAUAUUGGGCCCCACUGAUCUACCAACUAAUUAAUCCCAAAUAACAUCCCAAAUUAAUAAAUUUAAACCCACCAAAAAAAAUAAAAAAAAUGAGAAAUCAAACUUAGCCCUUUGUUUGUUUGAAAUUGUUGCUCUAAUUUUUAAAUUAAAACAUAUAGAAACCCCCUAAACUUUNACGCGAUCCAAAAUUGCUUUAACCGGAAAGGAGGUUGCGUGCAUCUCUUUUGGGCAUUUGAUUUUGACGAAGUAUUCAAAAUUGCCGACAAAAUAAAAAAAAUGAGAAAUCAAACUUAGCCCUUUGUUUGUUUGAAAUUGUUGCUCUAAUUUUUAAAUUAAAACAUAUAGAAACCCCCUAAACUUUAACCCGUUUUUAAUUUGAUUUACACUUUCUAAAUUCAUCAGCUAUUUGAUUUUAGCUUAUUUUGUCGGCAAUUUUGAAUACUUCGUCAAAAUCAAAUGCCCAAAAGAGAUGCACGCAACCUCCUUUCCGGUUAAAGCAAUUUUGGAUCGCGUGUAUUUUUUAUGAGUAUUUGUUUUGGUUUUAAUAUUUUUUUCCAAACUUAUUAAUGGAAUGUACUAAAUCAAAUGACUAGUAAGUAGAAGAGGUGUAAAUUAAAAUUUUUUUUAAAAAAAAUUAGGCGGUCAAUUUAAUAUACCGACAGAAUAAAUUUUUUUUUCUUAUUUUGAUGAUUACCAACUUGUAAGAUAUCUCGGCCAAGUGAUAGAUGACAAUUUAUGUAGAAAAUAAUUUCUAAGAUAAAAAUAAUUAGCUUUCAAAUGUUUAAAUUUUGAAUUUAAAAUUUCGAAUACUGGUUAUUAAAAUUUUUUUAUCACUUACGUUACGAACGGUCUGUUAAUAAGAUUUAUUUUUGGAUAUUGAUUCUGCACAAAUCAAAUGUGCAAGAAAUCCUACACGUCUGCUGAUUUGGCCAGCAAUCCCAAAGUGGAGGAGUGAGAUCUGCCAUUCUGCCAAUGAUUGGGAUGCAUCCUGCACUUCAAAUAAACUGUCAGAUUGCCUGUCUGCACUCCCAUGUAUGGAACACUUCCAAUCUAAGAUUGGCUGAUUUUUUUUUAAAAAAAAAAAAACUCUAGCUAAUUAAUAAAAAGAAAAAACUUCAAAAAAUGCUCCUGUAGUUUCGCACUUUUUUAUUUUCAGUAUCCUAUGAUUUAAAGUGUAUCAAAUUAAUACCCUGUGGUUUCGCACUUUCUCACUUUAGUACCCUGUGGUUUAAAGUGUAUUAAGUUAGUACUCUGUGGUUUUAUUUUUGUAUCAUGUUAGUACCCUGUGGUUUUAUUUUUUUAUCAAGUUAAUACCCUGUGAUUUUAUUUUUUUUAAUAAAAUAUUAAACCACAUGGUACUAAAGUGAGAAAGUGCAAAACCACAUAGUACUAAAGUGAGAAAGUGCGAAACCACAAGAUACUAACUUGAUACACUUUAAAUCCAGGAUACUAAAGUGAGAAAGAGUGAAACCAUAGGAAGGGUAUUUGAAGUUUUUCCUAAUAAAAAGCAUAUAAGCUCUCAUAUAAUUAAGCUAUAGGAUUAAUUACAAUCAAAAGGUGGUUCUAGGAACUGAAAAGGUGAUUAACACAUCCAAGAAUUUAAAUAUUAUUUUACAUUUUUAGUAUGAAAAAAAAGAAUAAAAGUACAACAAAAUUAGUGUAGAAAAGUAUGCCCUUUAAAGGAAUGUAAAAUUUACACUUUUAAGAUGUAGAAAAAGCAUUUCUCAAAUUUCAGUAAACUAGUCCAUGCCACAGUUAAUUAAUUCGCAAAUUAUUGAAAAUUCGAAUAAAACAGUUCGUAAAUAAUUUUGUCUCAAAAAAUUAGAAUAAAACGUAAAUUUUUGGGUUAGAUUUACUAUUCGCAAAUAAUUAGGGUAUGCCAAACUAUUCGGCUAAAAUAACAUGCAAAAUUUUUGAAUAAAAUCUCUUUGUCCAUUAAUUUGAGAAUUAUUGACAACUUACUUGCGAAUUAUUCACGAAUUAUUAAAAAACUUCAUGAAUUUUCGGAAAAUGUGGUCAUGAAAAAGGUGAAAAGUGAGACUCCAAUGAACCUUGCUUCUGCUCUUUUUACUUUACCUACUUUAUUUUGUAACUCCCUUUUUUUUUAUAUUCUUAAGAAUUAUAAUUGUUUAUGCUAGUAGCAAAAAUCUAGAGAAAAAAAUUUAAUUUAAUAGCUGAAUUUUUUAUCCCGAAUUUUUAAUUGGUGAACAUAUAAUUUUCGUUUAAAUCGCGUAUCUGAAUAAUUGACAAAUUCAUCUUUUAAACUGUAUUUUUUUAACUAACUUAAAAAUCAAGAUCCGAAUUUUAUUUAUGUUGUACCCGAUCCGAAUUAACUAGCUAUGUUCCACGCAGCAUGAGUUGUACUUCUCAAUCUAUUACCAUUUCAACACAAAAAGGUGUGGCCUAUUACAGAAAGGGAAAAGGGAAUAAUAGUGUUUGGUCACACAUAACAUUCACUACAUCUCUCUCUCUCUCUCUCUCUCUCUCUCUCUCUCUCUCUCUCUCUCUCUCUCUCUCUCUCUAGAUAAGAUGUGAAAAGUUGAAAAUUAUGUGGAAAAUGAAAGGUCAAGUGUGCCAUCCAAUUAUUAUUUUAUGAAAAUCAGCAUAAAGUAAUUGCAUUGCCUCCUCUUUUAUUAUUAUUAUUAUAAUACUUUCUAAUCACAAUUCGAGUUAUGUACUGUCUAUUUUUCAUCAUCUUAAUAUCACGAAAGAAAAAAAGCAAAAUAAAAUAAAACAAAAAAGAAUUUAUGGACAAACAAUAUUAACUCCUAUUCUCAAACAAUCCUCAUAAACGAAAAGAAUAAAUAAUAAUAAUAAUAAUAAUAAUAAGAAAAAAAAAGGACCUUUUCACACCGCUAAAUCUCCUCAAUUUUAGACUCGAAUCGGGCGAGUUGAUUCUGUACAAUCUUGUGUGUUGAAAAUUUUUAUCCCAAGGCAAACUUGGCAUACCAAUGAAUAUCCAUGUAACAUGCAAUUUUGCAUGUGAGUUAACCUGGAUGCUAGUUCAGCAUCGGUCGCGAAAUACAUUCGAGCCAUAAGUUGGUCAAUCCUUAUGCACACAGGAAUUGCUUACACGUGCGUAGAGAGAUGUCCGACGAACUCUGAUCCCUCAUCCUCCGCCAUCGCCGGCUUUUUUCCCUACCGAGCCUUCGCCUCGGCCUGGCACAAGCGCGGCACGCUCGAGCUCCGCAACCACUAACCGUCAUCGUCGCUCCCGCUGCCCUCGCCCUCACGCACUCGGCGCCGGCUCGGGAUGAGCGCUUUCGGCCGAACUCGUCUCUCACACGCUCCGCUCCGUUCGGGCUCGGCGGCCCCACCCUGCCGGCCACCACCUCCCCCCCCCCCGCCUCUAUCGCCGGCACCGCCAUCUCCACCACGUUCCGUGGCGACCCCAUCGUCGUCUCUACCUCUUCCCCUCCACCGCCGCCACCGCCGCCACAUUCUCGGUGUAUCGCCUUCCUCCCAGUGAUCAGCUCCAGCAGCACAACUCCGAAGCUGUAGACGUCGCUCCUCUCCGUGAGCCGCUGCAUCCGGUAGUACUCCGGGUCCAUGUAGCCCACCGUCCCCGCCGCAGCGGAGGCAACGCCGCCGAUCAUCGGCACGGAGAGCCCGAAGUCGGAGAUCUUCGCCGUCCAAUCCGUGUCCAGCAGUAUGUUCGAGGACUUCACGUCGCGGUGGACCACCGCGGGGACGGCGUAGGAGUGCAGGUACUCCAGGCCCCGCGCCGCGCCGAGCGCCGUGCGGAGCCGCGCCGCCCACGACGAGUAUAUCGGCGAGGGCGGGGACGCGGCGGCGCCGUGGAGGUGGUCGUGGAGGGAGCCGUUGGGCAUGUACUCGAAGACGAGCACGCGCUCGCCGCGCCCGCGGCUGUAGCCGAGGAGCCGCGCCACGUUGCGGUGGCUCAGCCGCGCCAGGAGCCCCAGCUCGGCCCGGAACGCGCGCUCCGACUCCCCCCACCGGCUCCGGCUCCGGCUCCGGCGCGGGGGGGGCGGUGGCGGCCCCGCCGCCGCCGCCGCCGCCGAAGUCGAUCCCCCGUCCUCGGCGCGCUUGACCGCCACCUCGCGCCCGUCGGGGAGGGCCGCGCGGUACACCGCGCCGAAGCUCCCCGCGCCGAUGCGCCGCGCCGCCGCGAACCCCUCCGUCGCGCGCUCCAGCGCCUCUAUCUCGAACUCCUCGCACCCGUACUCCCCCUUCCCGGCCGGCUCCGCCUCGAGCCGGUCGCCGCGACUCCGCCGCCGCCGCCGCUCCCCCGUCCGCGCCGCGUCGUGUACGCGCCGGUCGCAGGUCCCGAAGAAAGCCCCGUAGGCCGCCGCGCCGACCAAGGCGGCGGCGGCGGCGCCGAUCCCCACGAACCCGGCGAUCGCGAACGCGGCGUGCUUCCUCCUCUCCCCGCUCAAGCCGCCCCCUCCCGGGCUAGCCGAGCCCUCGGCGAUCCUGCAGGGCCGGCAAAUCGCGUCCCCGCCGCCGCCGCAGAGGUCGCCGGAGCCGGCCAGGACGCCGCAGGCGCACGCGCGCUGGGGCGCGCACGGCCCCGGCGCGACGCGGUCGAAGACGACGCGCCCGCCCGGCCCGAAGAGCCCGCCCCAGCACACCGCCGAGUAGUUGGCCAGGAGCACGCCGCACACGGCGCCGCCGCGGGCCUCGAUGGCCGCGAACUCGGCGCCCGCGAGGGCGCUAGGCACCGCGGCGGCGCCGCCCCAGCAGCGCACGGCGCCGCUCUCGGCGAGGGCGCACGUGCGGUCGUCGCCGAGCGCGAGGGCGGCGAUGUCGGCUGGGGGGUCGUCGUCGUCGUCGUCGUCGUCGGGGAGGUCGGGCGGCGCGCCCGCGCCCCAGCAGGCGAGGCGGCCGGGCCGCAGGGCGACCGCGCACGCGUGGCGCGCGCCCGCGGCGAGGGCGCCGAAGCGGCCGGGGGGGGCGUUGGCGACGACGGCGAAGUCGGUCCCGAAGCAGCGGAUGGAGGCGUCGGCGCGGAGGAUGCCGCAGAGGAAGUCCGUGCCGACGGCGACGUGGGUGAAGGAGAGGCGCGGGGGGACGCGGAGGUCCGGCCAGCGCCAGCAGGCGGGGGCGCCGAGGACGAUGCCGCAGACGUGGGAGUCGCCGGCGGAGAGGGCGCGGAGCGGGGGCCCGCGGUAGACGCGCUUCCCGGUUGUGCCGCGGUCCGGCCCGGAGAAGGACCACCAGCGCAUGGUGUCGACGGAGUCGGAGAGGGAGAUGGCGCAGAGGAAGCCGUCCCCGGCGGCGACGGCGGAGAAGGGGGAGGAGGAGGAGGAGGAGGUAGGUCUUGGUGGCGGCGGCGGGGAAGCUGGAGCAGGUCAGGGUCGGGAGGAGGAGGAGGGGGGGAGCUGGAGGAGGAGGAGGGCGCAGACGAGGGUGGUGUUGGGCCGGCGGGAGAUGGCGAGGGUGGAGAAGGGGGCGAGGAGGAGGCGGCAGCGGAAGGGAUGAAAGAGACGAGGAGGAAGAAGAACAACAAGCGUGAAUGGCGGUUACCAGUGUUUUUGAGAGGAGGAGGAGGCAUGGUGGGGGUGCAGAGUUGAUGGCCUGUGCAGCAGAGGAGGAGGAGGAGGAGGAGGAGAGGAGUAUUUCAUGGUAUAUAGAGAGAGAGAGACAGAGAGACUAAUUAACUACAUACUCACUACUACUGCUCGCUCUGCUGCUAACACUAACUACUACUACUACGGACGUGGUUUUUAUAUAAUAUUGAGGGAGAUCGAUGGAGAAUUAAGGUGGUGGGGGAACACGCGCGCCAAUGGAAAGACUAGCUCGAUUUGCCACUUUGAAAUAAUCCUUAAUUAGCAAAUAAGCCAGGUCUCGCUAGCUAGUUCUCUCUACAAACUCUCUUUAAUAACUUAAUUUCUGUGCACACUCAAACUCGUUCUCCAGCCCGAUUAAUUGAGAGUAAUAAUUCUGGAACUUCGCUGCUCCUCGCGAACAGCGCGUGUGGUGGACCAUGACAUUUAUAUUAAUUAAUCCUAAUCUAUAUAUAUAUAUAUAUAUAUGGCAGAAGAUAACUAGGUACUUUGCUCUCAAACUAGCGACAUAUAUGUGCUCUAAACUAGUUAAGACAAUUAUCUCACCAAUGCCAUGUAUGUUUAAUCUCAUCAUCUUUAAAACAAAAGGUAAAAAAAUCUAUGUACGUAUUACGGACAUUUCCAUAAGCUUCGUGUGAUGCAGCUUCCAAAUCGACGAUCGGCUCCGUUAGACUUGAUCUACACUAUUGAAAGUAUUUGAAAACUAAAUUUCAUAAAUUUUCGGCAUCAUUUACCUAUCAAACGAGUAGUCUAAAAAUGAACGGCUGAAAAUAAAAAUCUCUUAAAAAAUGAUGUUGAAAAAUUAUGAAAUUUAGUUUCCAAAUACUUUUAAUACGGAGGCGUUCAUGCUACCGAUAGUAUACCAGCUUAACUCUAUAUAUAUAUAUAUAUAUGUAUUUAUAUAUAUAGAGGAGAGAGAGAGAUGUCGAGAGAUGAGAGAGAGAGAGGAGAGAUAGAGGCUAGAGAGAGCGGAGAGAGAGAGAGAGUGGCUGGUAUGGAUUAUGGAAGACGGAGCCCUCGUGCUUCCAAGUGUUUUCGAUGUUUUUCGACUUUCGACAUACAACGAUCGGCUCUGUUUAGAGCUUGAUCUAGAGUUAUUUGAAAAUACCUAAAAUAAAAAUUUUGUGAUUUUUCGAUAUCAUUGUGCUAGUGAUCAAAGGGCUCAAAAUCAAUAAUUUAAGGCCGUGGUUGAGCGGUUGCAAGUUUAACGCGUGUAGAAAUAUCCAAAUCCAUGUAAUUUUUUCUGAUAGAAAAUUCUUAUUACCAGUUAUAAAACAAGAUUAUAACUUUGAUCUAAAAUUUUAUGGGUCAUAUCAUCAUUUUUGUAAAUGUUAUUUUCAAGCACGUUUUGAUUUUGAGCCCCUUUGAUCACUAGGCAAAUGAUAUCGAAAAAUCACAAAAUUUAUUUUCUAGAUACUUCAAAUACUCUAGAUCAAGUCUAACGGAGCCGAUCGUCAAUUCGAAAGUUCGAACAUCGAAAACAAAGUGGAAGCACGGAGCCCUCCGUGCUUCCAUAAGCAUCCUAGCCGCACUCUAUAUAUAUAUAUAUAAAAUAAUAAAUAUUUUAGUUUUUUUUAUCGAUGCAUACAAAUUUUUUUAAUUCUAUAAAAAAAAUUAUGUAUGGUGAGAAAAAAAUUUCUUAAAAUAUAUGAACUAUCAACAAAAAUUUUACUAACUUUUAUUCGUAUGAGAAAUAUAAAAUAUUAUAAAAAUAUUUUAUCCAAAUUAAUAUUUUAUAUAUAAUAAAUAUAUAUUAUUAUAUUAAUAAUAUUAUAUUUUAUUAGUGAUGUUCGUAUCGUAAUUUUUUGAAAACUGUCAAGUUGCCAUGCAUGUCCGAGUCGUGUCGUAUCUCGCAGCAUCCAUAAUACCUAGAUAAAAAUAAAAUGAAAAAAUAUAUAUUAGUAAAUUCUUGAGUCAUUAUAAAUGAGGUUGUAGAUAUUACAAUCUCUUUUUGGUUAUAAGCGUAUUCUCACAUUAUUUUAACGUAUGAACAAUCUUUUUUUUUUUGAGAGAGAUAUGUAGCACGCUACCCGUUUCGUUUAUUUUAUUUAGAAAUAAACUUAGCUGAAAAUGUGAAUCAAUUAGGAUUCGAACUUGGGUCUCGGGUACCAACCACCAAGCCCUUUGCCACUUGUUGUAGGGACGGUUGGUUAUUCAAUACAUCUUUUUUAUUUAAAUUCACGCAGUACUACUUUUGUAGUGUUUUGCUGGUCUAAACUAUCUGUAACGACCCAACCCGAAAAUUCAUAAGAUUUUGAGUUUAAAUUUUAAGUUUGAUAUUUAUAAAUGUAUUUAAACUUUAGAGUUUAAAUUUUGGUUUUGAAGAUAGAAUUUUAAUUCUAGCUGGUGAUGAAAGCUUUUCACCUUCUUCUCGGACAAUUUCUCUUCUCUCUCUCUCUCUCCACUAAAACCAAGCUGUCAAUGGAGGAGAAGUUUGAUUAUGAAAGCUACUCCCAUCAUCAGUGUUCAACUUGAAAUCAGCUUCGCCAUUUUGAUUUGACCUCAAAUUAGGGGUUAAGGUCUCUUCAUCUUUGAAGGAUCUUGGCUCUUGGUGGAGAGCAUAGAAAGAUACAAUUAAUUUAUUUAAAACAUACAUAAGCGUUCACGAGUUUCAAUUGUGACUCGGCCUAAUCAGCCUCCCGCCACUUCGAACACGACUCAACCUAAUCCGACCUCCCAUCAUUUCGAACGUAAUUCAGUCUGGCCAGAUCUUUUGUCAUAGGACAAAAUGAUGACCCCUGUAAGUCAACAUGUUCAAACUCUUUAUUUUCAAUGUUAGAUUUGAUACUUUUAUAAUGUUUAUUUAAUUUGUGUUUCUAUUUGAUUUCAAAUUUUAUUUCAUUUAGAAUUUGAUUUGAGAGAGUUUGGAUAAAACACUGGAAUCAUCAACUGAACUGUUGGCCCUGUCUGAACAGCAGAUCCACUGCCAAGUACAACAAGAGUCAACCACCCUUGAGAUGAGGGUUGACCGUUGGAGGCUACAGUAAACCCACCAAAAUUUAAAUUUUUGAAAUUUUGGAUUCUUUUAGGAUUGGUCUUAAUUGACUUUUAUGGUGCGAGUUUUAACUAGUAUUUUCACUUGGAUUACCACUUUAUUUUAUUCGAUUUUGGUUUGGUCAAGUUCGGACUCACGCAUGCAGUUCUAGUUAGUGUAGAGUCGACCGACCGACCGACAACAUGCCGUCGACCAAAAUGGAACACUGACAGAAUUCUAGCUUCGGAUUUUCUAAACUACCGUUUGGUUCGGAAUCAAGAAAAAACUAGUUAUUCCAGAAAUAGAGUUAAGUUCAGGAUAAAGGUGGGGUUAAAGUAUUUUUGUGUUUGGUUGAGAAUUGGAGUUAGUCCAGGAUUCAAAAAACAUAGUAUUUAGUUGAAGUAGGUGGGAUAAGAAGAAUAGUGGAUAAAAUAGUGUUUUGUUUGCUUGGAGUAGUGGGGUGGGAUGGGGUUAGCUAUGGUUAGCUAACCCCACCCCAAAUAGGCUAACUCGGGUUUGCUCAUUUGGAGUGUGGUUAGCUAAUCCCACCACCCUAAAAUUAUGUUUGAGAAUAAAAUCGGGGUUAGAGAGUUAUCCCAUCCCUUAACUCCGAACCAAACACAAGCUAAAGGUCGAUCGGCAGCAGCCAUGACCGGUCAAUCGACUAGUUUAUAGUCGAUCAUAUGAUAUGAGAAAAGAAUUUUGAUUGAAAAUAUAAGAGGCCUCACAUUUUAGUGAUGACUAAAUUUAAAUAUUUCGGACCAGUAAUUUAGACCUAACGAAUUAUUUUAGUUAGCAGGUCGAAUCACUACAGUUAGUAUUAGAGUCGAAUACCAACCGGAAGUGUGAGCCGAAUACAGUUAGGAUUUUGGUGUUUCAAUAAUUAUUUUGUUUCCUAUAUAAAAGUCUUGCAUAUAUAUAUAUAUAUAUAUAUAUAUAUAUAUAUAUAAACUUAAUAUAUAGUGCGUCUGGUAUAGCUUAUGGUAAGCAUAUGCGACGCUCCGUGCUUCCACUUGUUUCGUAUGUUCGGACUUUCGAAUCGACGAUCGGCUCCGUUAGACUUGUAUCUAAAUAUUUGAUAUCCUAGAAAAAUAAUUUGCGAAUUUUCGAUAUCAUUUGCCUAGUGACUAAGUGGCUCAAAAUUACACGGCUGAAAAUAAAAAUCUUACAAAAUAUGAUGAUAUGACAUUAAAAUUUAGAUCAAAGUCUAAUUAAUCUUGCUUAUUAUAUGGAUAAGAAUUUUUUAUCAAAAUUUUCAUGCGAUUGGGAUAUUCACACCGUAAAACUUGGCGACCUCCGGUCUACAGCCACGCGCCAUUAAAUUAUAUUUGAACCCCGUCAUUCACUAGGCAAAUGAUAUCGAAAAAUCGCAAAAUUUAUUUUCUAGGUACUUCAAAUACUCUAGAUCAACUCUAACGGAGCCGAUCGUCGAUUUGAAAGUCCGAACAUCGAAAACAAAGUGGAAGCACGGAGGGCUCCGUGCUUCCAUAAGCAUACCAACCUACUCUAUAUAUAUAUACUAGUCAUAUGCACGUGCAAUGCACCUGAGACUUAUUUGAAAAUAUCAAAUAAUUUUUUUCUAAAAUAUAUAUUCAUUUAAAGUUAUUAAUGAAAUUGAAGUAUAGACUAACUAUACUACUAUUCCCCAAUUAUUACUGUUCAAAUUAAUUGGACUUAAUUUGGACAAAGAUUUUAAUAUUUUUUACACCCUAAAAACAAUAUAUAUACACAAAUUGAUUUGAAGAAUAUCGUAAAAAUAGUAAUACAAUUUUAGAAGAAUUUUGAAUCCUAUCGCUCAUAUUUUGAAAAGUUUUUGCAUGUUUUAUACACUAUAUAUAUUUUAUAUUUGAUAAACGUAUAGGUAAAAAUAAAUAAAUAUAAAAAAAUAUGCUAAAAUAGUAUAAAUGCACAUUAAAAAAAUAAAAAUUUUCAGGUGAGAUCAAAAUACCUCUCUAACUAUGACAAAGGUGGCGAAAAUGACAAUGUGCUGGUGUUGACGAUAACAAUAUGCUACGAUGUACUGGUGCUAGCGAUGGGGAUAUAUGAAAAAUAUUUCAGAAAAAUAUAGGUGAAAAUAAAAAAGAUGUUACUAAAAAAAUAUGUCUUCUAAAAAAUAUAUUCUGUGUGUGAAUAAAUAUUAUGAUGAGAUAAAGAUUGGAUAGUGUAGAUAUUAUAUGCAAAGAUAUGUAGAUAUUAUAUGCAAGUGCAUUAAAACAUGUUCUAUAUUUGAGAAAUGCAUAAGAUAUUUUGGCGGGUAUUACUUUUGAAUAUUUUACUAAAAAAAAUUUAAAAAUAUAAAAUUAUAUUUAAUUAAUAAUUUAGUUUUGUUUAGGUGGGUAUUAAAUCUUUUUAGUAAUAUUUUACGUGAUUGGCCCAAGUAUUACGAAUGAGAAAGAAAAUAUUUGAAAAACACGUAAAUAAGAGAUAACGGAUAUUUUAAUUUAUGACGCGUUUGAGAAAACGUGUGUGAGAAACAAAAUAUUUAAGGUACCCCGUAGAUAUGAUAUAACGGAUAUUUUAAGUUAUAACGGGAAUUACGUUUGAGAAAAUGCGUAGAUAUUUGUAAAAUGCGUAGAUAGGAAAUAACGGAUAUUGAGGGUAUUUUUGUCAAGAAAAGUGACAGAUACUUUUAUUUUUAAUCGUUGGAUGAGAUCCAAUGGUAAAAAUUUAAGAUCUAUAUUUGAGAAUAAAUUAUUAUUUGAAAAAUUAUUUGAAACNAUAUCAAGUUAGUACCCUAUAAUUUUUUAAACCACAUGGUACUAAAGUGAGAAAGUGCGAAACUAUAUGGUACUAACUUGAUACACUAUAAACUACAGAAUACUAAAGUGAAAAAGUACAAAACCACUGGGUAUUAAUUUGAUACACUUUAAACCAUAUGGUACUAAAAUGAGAAAAAGUGAAAUCACAAUAGGGGUAUUUGAAGUUUUCCCUCGAUAUUAUAAUGCAGAGAGUUUUUAUAGUGUUAUGGCCAAAAUUUGGUUUGAACCGGCCGCAUUUUCAUAUAUAUAAAUUAAAUUAGAAACUUAUAUAUAUACAUAUAGAUCUAGAGAGAGAGAGAACGAGAGUGAGAGAGAGAACUAGGCUCCUAUAUAUACUUUCGAAAGUAUGGAGGCCUUCGUACUUGUAAGUUGUUUUCGAUGAUGAAGCAUUCGAUUUAACGAUCGGCUUCGUUAGACAUGAUUUAUAUAUAUUAUUGGAACUAUUUAGAAAUCAAAUUUCAUAAUUUUUUGACUUCAUUUGCCUAGUGAACGAGUAGGCUCAAAAUGAACAGUUGAAACUAAGAAUCUUACAAAAAAUAGUGUUGAAAGACGUAAGUUUAAAAUUGAAAGUAUUGUUCUUACUCUUGAUGUUAAAUAGAAUUUUCUAUUAUAGAAUGCGGCGGAAGUAUUAGUUCGUUCGUACCUUUUUCAGAAGUGAUUCGCGUUACAACUCGAUAAGCCCGGAUCGUCGAGGUUGAUUCACGUGUCCUUUGAUCGUCCUUGAUUAAAUCUUCUCACGUCCCAAACUCGCGAUGGAUCAAACUACAAACGAGCACGAUCACAAAUCCACCGUUCAAGUCCCUCUUAGAAUAAUAGGUUGAUGGAGGAUGUGGUUUCUCUCUUUCGUUUUCUUAUUCUUGCUUUUUUUUCCGUUCUCGUUCCAUUUGUUAUGUGGGAUCGCCCGCAUAUUUAUAAAGGAUUCCAAAAUCCUAAUAGCGUUAGAGAUAAGGUCAAAUCGGUUAUCAAUUGUUAUCCUAAUAUGACUAGGAUUUAUCUCUAAUUAGCUUUUCAAUUUGAAAGCGAAAUUAAUUCAAAUCCAAUUAGAUAACAUAAUAUCCGUCGGAUCGAACCCGCUUAUGGGCGUACCCGAUUCGAUUUAACCGAAUGCCAACAUCUAUUAAAGUUUCAUAUAACUUGAAUUCUUCUACACUUUUGAACUUUCAAACGUGCUACAUCGGCCGUUAAAUUUAGCCAUUUUUGAAACUCUUUGAUCACUUGGUAAAUGAUGCCAAAAUAUUAUGAAAUUUGGUUUUUAAAUAAUUCUAAUAGCGUAAAUCAUGCCUAACAGAGCCGAUCGCCGAAUCGGAUGCUCCAUCAUAAAAAACAACUUACAAAUACGGAAGUCUUCGUACUUUCGAAAAUAUAGGAGACGUACUCUCUCUCUCUCUCUCUCUCUCUCUCUCUCUCUCUCUCUAUAUAUAUAUAUAUAUAUAUAUAGAGAGAGAGAGAGAGAGAGAGAGAGAGAGAGAGAGAGAGUACGUCUCCUAUAUUUUCGAAAGUACGAAGACUUCCGUAUUUGUAAGUUGUUUUUUAUGAUGGAGCAUCCGAUUCGGCGAUCGGCUCUGUUAGGCAUGAUUUACGCUAUUAGAAUUAUUUAAAAACCAAAUUUCAUAAUAUUUUGGCAUCAUUUACCAAGUGAUCAAAGAGUUUCAAAAAUGGCUAAAUUUAACGGCCGAUGUAGCACGUUUGAAAGUUCAAAAGUGUAGAAGAAUUCAAGUUAUAUGAAACUUUAAUAGAUGUUGGCAUUCGGUUAAAUCGAAUCGGGUACGCCCAUAAGCGGGUUCGAUCCGACGGAUAUUAUGUUAUCUAAUUGGAUUUGAAUUAAUUUCGCUUUCAAAUUGAAAAGCUAAUUAGAGAUAAAUCCUAGUCAUAUUAGGAUAACAAUUGAUAACCGAUUUGACCUUAUCUCUAACGCUAUUAGGAUUUUGGAAUCCUUUAUAAAUAUGCGGGCGAUCCCACAUAACAAAUGGAACGAGAACGGAAAAAAAAGCAAGAAUAAGAAAACGAAAGAGAGAAACCACAUCCUCCAUCAACCUAUUAUUCUAAGAGGGACUUGAACGGUGGAUUUGUGAUCGUGCUCGUUUGUAGUUUGAUCCAUCGCGAGUUUGGGACGUGAGAAGAUUUAAUCAAGGACGAUCAAAGGACACGUGAAUCAACCUCGACGAUCCGGGCUUAUCGAGUUGUAACGCGAAUCACUUCUGAAAAAGGUACGAACGAACUAAUACUUCCGCCGCAUUCUAUAAUAGAAAAUUCUAUUUAACAUCAAGAGUAAGAACAAUACUUUCAAUUUUAAACUUACGUCUUUCAACACUAUUUUUUGUAAGAUUCUUAGUUUCAACUGUUCAUUUUGAGCCUACUCGUUCACUAGGCAAAUGAAGUCAAAAAAUUAUGAAAUUUGAUUUCUAAAUAGUUCCAAUAAUAUAUAUAAAUCAUGUCUAACGAAGCCGAUCGUUAAAUCGAAUGCUUCAUCAUCGAAAACAACUUACAAGUACGAAGGCCUCCAUACUUUCGAAAGUAUAUAUAGGAGCCUAGUUCUCUCUCUCACUCUCGUUCUCUCUCUCUCUAGAUCUAUAUGUAUAUAUAUAAGUUUCUAAUUUAAUUUAUAUAUAUGAAAAUGCGGCCGGUUCAAACCAAAUUUUGGCCAUAACACUAUAAAAACUCUCUGCAUUAUAAUAUCGAGGGAAAACUUCAAAUACCCCUAUUGUGAUUUCACUUUUUCUCAUUUUAGUACCAUAUGGUUUAAAGUGUAUCAAAUUAAUACCCAGUGGUUUUGUACUUUUUCACUUUAGUAUUCUGUAGUUUAUAGUGUAUCAAGUUAGUACCAUAUAGUUUCGCACUUUCUCACUUUAGUACCAUGUGGUUUAAAAAAUUAUAGGGUACUAACUUGAUAUAAAAAUAAAACCAUAGGAUACUAAUUUGAUAUAAAAAUAAAACCACAGAGUACUAACUUGAUACAAAAAUAAAACUACAGAGUACUAACUUGAUACACUUUAAACCACAGGGUACUAAAGUGAGAAAGUGCGAAACCACAUGGUACUAACUUGAUACACUUUAAACCAUAGGAUACUAAAAUGAAAAAGUACGAAAUCAUAUGGGGGAUUUUUGAAGUUUUCCCUAAUAUCAAUAUAUCCAUAAUUUAUAAGGGCGACAUUGUUGGGCACUUGUAAUUACACUCAAAGAAAGAUCCUUUUAGUCUCCAUUUUUUACUUAAAUGUUAAGAUUUUAAAAAGAUUGAAAAUUUUACAUAUGUCAUUCCCUUACAGAGAGAGAGAGAGAGAGAACAAAUUUAUGAGCGUUUCGAAGUAUUAUCAUGCAAUUAACCCAGCAGAUUUGUUAUUAAAAUUAUAUGAAUAUAAAAAUAUCACUUUUUAGCAGCUUUAAUUUUUAAAGAAUAAUAAUUAUUUCAGAUGAUUUAUCCGAGUACAAAGUUUUCUUUAAGCUUUCAGGAACAAGGACAUAUUUCAUAUAUAAUCACAAAUCAGAAAACAUUUCUCUUUGCAAAUCAAAUAAGGAAAAAUGUCUAGAGAAUAGUUUCAUAGCAUGCAAAUAAACAAAUUUCUCAAGCGGAAACAAUAUAUGCAAUCGCACACGACAAAAAAAUCAAAAUACUGGUUAAUCAAAGGGAAAUUUUCGAUUCCCAAAAUUUUAGCGCAUCUUACUUUGUCAUCAUGUCAUUUAAAAGAAUUUUACUUUAUUAUUCUAUAUAUCUUUUUCUUUAUAUCAAGUGAGGUACUACAGUACUACAAUUUGUAGACCGCAAAUUAAUGGAGUAAUAUAUUUUUCACACAUUAUCUUACUAAUCUAUAUUAUCAUUUUACCAUCCUAUAGUUUGUAAAAUAUAUUACUUAACUAUUUUUUUGGUUAUAAAUUUUAACCCUUUAGUAUCCGACCCGAUGACAGGUUAUUACAGUAAAAUAAGAAUAAAAUUACGGAAUAUCAAAGUAAAGUAUUUCAAACUCCGCGGUAGAGAACUGAAGAUGCGGUAAACCUCAAGGAUUUAUUUUUCAAUCAUUUCUCUGAGUCAUUUUUGGUCUUAAUCGUUUUUCAAAUCACUUCUACUGUAGAGGAAAUAAAAGGAGUAGAACAUUUCAACCCUUGGUGGUUAAUAAGGUGUGAUUAAUGUGAAAUGCAGUGUGUGUGUGCGUGCUUGAUGUGGUGGUAAUUACUUAGUCAAAAAAAAAAAAAAAGUGUUAGGUGAGCACACUAUGUCCAAGGUAGAGUUAGAUGGAGACAACAAAUAAUUAAGAAAUAAGAGAACAUGUUAAUUUCUAUAGUUGGUUUUGUGCAUGUAAUUAAGAAGCGACGUAUAAUUUGGCCAACACUUUAAUACCACAUUUUAUUUUUUGCAUUAACAAUAGCAUGAAUAAUAGAGCAGAACUUUUAAAUUCUAAAAUAGACUUUUUGCGAGGUUUUAAGUUCAGAAAAAAGGAGGCGUGAUAUAUACUGGAAAUCAGAAUUUAUUCCUCUGGAUGUAUUUUUGUAACAUUCGAAAAAAAUUGUAUGUUAAAAUCGUAAUUUCUGGGUAACUAUUUCUCAUGGAUCAAACAAAAUUCUUUUUGAGGAUUACUUGUUGCGAAGGUUAUUUCCAAGCAUAUGGUUUUUCACACAUAGAUUCUUAAAUGUUCUAGAACAUCUAAUCUCUUCAGUUUUAGAAUAUAAGAUACAUAUAAUCAUUGGUGUAAAUCUUACGCCUCUGCCCUCUUAGAGUUCAUAAAAAUUCAAAUGAAUUUUCAAUAAAUAAAAUAAUAAUAAUAUUAGUGGGAAAGAAGAUAAGGAUAAAACUUCAGUGACAAGCUCCCCAACGAUGCCUUGUUGGGCUCGAUCCUCUAUCAUGUAUUAAUUUUGCUUUCAUCCAAGAGUCUGUGGGUGUUCUUUAGCACUACUCAAAAAAAAAAAAUUUAAAUUCUAAAGAAACGUAUUAUAACCUUUAGAUAGAGAUAAAACUGACACAUAAAACGAGACAUUGUUGGAAAGCUCCCUACAAAAGUUUUUUUUUUCAAAAAUAAAAGCUCUUGAUUGAGUGGGGUGUAAAAUCUACACCUACUCUAAAGAGUGUACAGACAGUAUUGCUAAUUUAUAGCUAGGGGGAGACGAGUAAUACGGUGCACCUACACCUGGUGCAGGCAACAAUUUGUCCAGGUCAUGUUGGCCAAAACAUAAAAAAAGAAAAAAGAAAAAAAAAAGCUUUCUUGUGAUGGUUCACCAUUGCUUCUCACUAAAGAAAAUUCUACUUUGAACCUAAUUAUAAUGGAUGAGCUACACAGCAAGUAGUUACUGAGGAAUUUGCUUAUCAAUCAAAUCAUCAUAAUUAAAAUAACAAUCAAAGGCCUUGUCCGGUGGUUGUUAUCUGAAUUGCUGUUCUAGAGAUUGAAAUUCAAUCUUCUUUUGUGAUUACACCAGAAAACGAAAACAAAACCAAAAAAGGAAAACCGCAACACCGACUGGUGGUUGUUAUUUGAAUUGCUGUUCUAGAGAUUGAAAUUCAAUCUUCUUCUGUGAUUACACCAGAAAACGAAAACAAAACCAAAAAAGAAAAACCGCACCACCGACUUCGUAGAUAUUAGAAUAAUACAUGAACUAAGGAUAGUCCAGGAUAGCCAAAAAAUCAUAAAGAAAAUAAUAAAAGGAAAAAGUGCAGAAAUCCCUUCAAGUUAUUUAGCUCUUUUACAAACUUUCGAGCUUUUAUUUCCGAAAUUAGAUCGAUCUCUCUCUCUCUAGUUUAAAUUAUUAAUUACACAACCAGAUUUGAUCGCAUGACUCGUAUAAUCUCACAAAGCUUUAAAACACAAGAUAACCAAUGGCACCACCAAAAGAAUCCCAAAACACAAAUUCAAUGAGGUAAGGAAUAUCUACAAAAUGUCCAAAAAGGAACAAAAAUCAAAAUAGAACUUGUAUGAUACAGGAUUCUCUAUUGUUUCAUUAGUGUUGCUACAGCAGCAUGGAUGGGGCUUUCUCGAACCGCAACGGGGCGCCGGGCUAACGAGUGCGGUCCUCUCCACAGGGAAUUAGGGUUGCUCGGGAAAAGGCUCGCGCAUAACUUCAAUACCAUGUGAUUUUCCUGCUGCGCGAUAUUUUCUUCGGUUUUCACCUGCUCAGCCCUUUCAGCAGCUUCCUGCAGACAAUAACGCACCACAUGGUAAGUACAUAAUCUCUCUCUAGGGCAGCAUAUAUAUUGAAAAGGGCCAUUUUGCAAGACGAAUCCAUCUAUUUUUUUUUCGAUUCGCGAUUUUGAUCCACUUUUUUUGGUUCUUCGAAAAUGUUCGUAAUGGGAAUCAAUGAUGUAUCUAUUCAUUACAAUGAGCGUCGGGGGAAUCCAAAUCCGUCAAAGUCCGACUACCAUCCGAAAUUGCAAAUAAAAACAAGGGGAUCCAAAUACAUAAAGACCAAAAAAAAUGGUGGUAAAAAUAGUCCCAUCCCUAGAGAAUUAUACAUAUAACCAAAAUAAAAUGAUAUCAAAAAAAAUAUGUAGAGACAAUCAAGUGUGGCCAUGUUUGUUACCUCGUGCGGGUGAUCAGAGACUAAAUCCUCCUUUUGCUGAGUGGAUGUAAUAUUCUCCAGCUCAUUUUGAUCUUUGUAUUCGUCUUCAUCAUCGGAAGGUUGGUUUGAAUCAUCAGUUCCAUCCUCAUCGCGUGGCAAUUCCGACGGUUGAUUAUUUACACAAAUUUCCAGAUGAUCAACUUCCAUCUGAUUUUCGGUGACCUCGGGCUGAUCUGUUCGGGAAACAUGGAUCUGCUCGAAAUUUUCCAUUUUUUCCUCAUUUUCAGCAUCCUCCGUCUCGCCAUUGGCAUUGGGCUCUGGUGAAUGGUCCGAGCUCGAGGUUCCAUCAUCGCUACCAGGGUUAUCGGCGGGAGAGCUUUCCUGAAAUCACGUCAAAAAAAAAAUGAUAAAAAUAAGUUGCAAUCUACAGGGCAGUAGCUAAACAAAUAUUUAAGAAAGUAAAAGAAACGGAAAAGAAAAAGAAAAAAAAAUGGAACCAACCUCUAGUUUAAACUGCUGCGAAAGAUUACCAACAGUUAUAGCCAUCUCAUUCUCAACCACUGCAGAGUUCUCUUCACGUUCCUUCCUGCGACGCCUUACAACACAAACAGCGCACAAGCAGUCGCCUUUAUGGAGAUCAAUCCUGCGCCAACAUAUGUUAUAUCAAAAUUCUAAUGAAAAAUGGUAAUACAUUUUGUUUUAUAAUAAAAUGUAGGAUAGUAUACUUGCAGAGUCUCAAAAUUGUAACUCAGUCGAUUAGUCCCUGAAAUUUCUACAUAAACACUUCAGAACCUUCAGUCAAAAAACUAAAGUUCACCUAGGAUUCUUUUAAUUCAAAAAGUUUUGGUUAAGGCAUUCAGAUUAUCUGAGAAGUUGCUUCAGUUAAACAGAUUUAGCACAUCAAAUUAACCUUCAAAGGUCCCAGAUUUGCUAUACACUGUACUAAGAAAACCAUACAUUUGUUAUAGAGUGUACCGUACUACCAUGCAAGUUGAAAAGACCAACAACAACAAGAACAACAAAAUCUUUUCUUAUUACUGUCAUCUUCUUAAUCAAUUCCAUUUUCUAUGUUUUGAACUCUUCUUUUCUUAUAUCUUACCUUAUCAAUUUUCCUUGUUCACUUCAUUACGAUGCCGAAAGGGACAAAAAUGUAUGCAGUAUCAAUAAAGCCAGUAAUCACUUAGCAGCUUCUCAAUUCUUUGGGUGUCUUUAGAAAUAUAAAAGAAUACAUAUUCAAUCUCAAAUAGGGGGAAAAAGAACACAAAGUAGAAAAUUUAGUUACCCAUACCGUCGACGUUUGCGCUUUGACUUGCCUUUCUGAUGCACCUUUUCCUGACCAGAUCGAGAAAUUUCCUGAACCUCACUGUUCUCAGCAGCACCUACAAAAAGGAAUGAAGUGUUUUCCAUUUGCACCUUUGGGGUAAGAUUCAAACCAAUAUGAAAUAAAAUAAAACUAAAGAAGAGCAAAAAUGAAGGCAUGAUAAAUAGAUCAUUGCAAAAGGGCCUUGAACUUCGGAGUGCACCAAUAACUGACUGGAAUGGUACGAAUAACAUAUCAUAUGGGAAACUGGCGGAUAAAUUUGAAAUUUGAACGCUAUCGAAACUAAAUUUAUAUUGAGAAAUUUUUGUGAAUCAUCCCACAAUUGGAUAAAAUCAUAUCACGUGCACAAAAGAUGAUCCUUUGUCAUGUUGCCAACUUUGUUGGUAAAAUGCAGUAGAUGAUCCACACAAAUCAUAUUUCUCUCUCCUCAUCUACCUAUCUUUUCUCCACUCUAAAUUUCAAAAUACUUAUUGUGCCUUAUAUCCCAAUCAAAAUUCUGUGAUGUUUUGGCAGUAAAAAAAUAUGAGAUGAAACAUGUACAACAUAACACGAACAAACAACGAUCUACAAAAAGUGAGACAAAUCCCAUUUACUUUAUUGCUUCAAGUUCUCGACUAAAUUUCAUGUAGUUUCAAAAACAAAAAAAAAAGAGACUAAAAUCACACCUAGAGAAAGAAAAAGCCAUGAAACUUGAUCUUACAAUCUAUACAAGGAAUCGAAAAAGACAAUCUAAAAUUCAAUUAAUAACAUUGAGUUAUAGAAUAAGCACGUAACAGUAUAAGUACCUACAUAACAUUACAGUCAGCAAUUGCCUAAUACUUACUAUUAUCUGGCACUUCGGAAUACAAGCCUGCUGCUGACCAAUACUUCAUGAAAUUCUUCUUCACUCGUUUCAUGAGAUCCACAAUAUAAUCACCUUUAUUAUUAUACUUGUAACAGUUCUCCCAUAUAAACUGCACAUCCUUGUAAACAUCUUCUGAGUUCAUAUAUUUGCGACCGUUUUCUAAAUCAUUACAUAUGGUUCCAAAAUCCAUAGGAGUGUCAAUAAUGUCAAAAUAAUCCUGGAAAAGAGAAGUCAGAUAUUGGUCAAAGUACAGCAUAUAACUUUAUAUUGAACUUAAUUUAUUCUGUAAAGAUCAACCACGAAUGAGAACCAUGCAGUGGAAAUCUAAUAUAACAAAUAAAAAGUUACAUGCACAACCAACUGAAUAGAAAGGCUACAAACCCUUUUCGACAAGAACAUAUAUUAGUGAUAGAAAACAAAUAGCGAACACCAAAUUUACGUAUCUAUCCAUAAAUCAGACCCGUCUUUAAUACUCCAACAUUAGGUGAAGUAGUGAAAAAUUCAGUAAUAUAGAAUUUUAAUUUAGCAGAGCAAACAGUCAUAUGAAUGUUUAUUCAUCAUUAGCUUUCCAAACCGUAUUCUGUACACCUAUGUCAUGCAGAAAAAAACCAAAAAAACAAAAAGACAAAAAACAAAAUUUACAGCAUUGUUCAGAAGUUUAAGGUGGUCAAGUCAACUCAAACUUGCAAGAUAUACAACCAUAACAGAGAAUUUAGCCAUACCAAACUAGAUGAUUUAUAUAAGGGUCUAUUUUUACAAUUUGAAAUUUAACUUUAAAAGUCAAAUUUUAUUUUCAAAGUGAGCCUGAGGCUACAUAUACUUAGAAGCUAACUGUGCAAGAUACAGUUAGCUUUUAUUAUCUGCCUGCUAAUUUACCCCAACCAUGCUAAAGAAAAAGCAGAAUAAUACACAAUAUGUUCUACAUAAAUAUCAGCAGGACACUAUACUUACAGGGAUUCCUAGAGCAACAGGAUUAACGGGAGCAUUGAAGGGCCCAGCUGCAUCCAUCUUCAUAACUUUCUUAAUCACCUGAAAUACAACAUCAUCAUCCACAUGAAUUCUCAUUUCAGUGAUCAGCAUAUUCAGAAUGAUGAAGCCCAACUUGAAAAUUAUCACCCAAUCCUGGUCCACCACAUCAAGCUACAGACCACCCAGUGAUUUUACUUGGAAACCCCACCAUCUAGUAAGUUUCAGCUUCUUUUUUGGGGGGGCUCUUUUUUAUUUUAAAGUGGUGAAGAUUGUAUGUGGGGGGGAAAAAUGAGAUCAGAUCCCAAUGCAGUCCACAACAUGGCGGACAAGUUCCAGGCAAUAAUGAAUAAUCUCUUCAACUCUUACCGCUAGUGCUUCAGACAACUCCUUUUCAUUAUAGCGAGGAUCCUUCUCUCUUUGUAGUUUAUUCGUCGGCACCGAUACAUCUGCUUUUUUUUCAGUUGAAGAGACUAAAACCCUAGAUGUCUUGAUCUUAAUACUUCCCGUUUUUCUUGGCAGCGAUGUUUGCCCAUCUGAGUAUGCAGUGUCUUUCUCUACAGCUGCAUCAUUCGUCUCAACUGGAACUUGCAGAUUAGAUCUAUCGGUGUCACUGUGUGUUUGUGCAUCUGAAGAACUUCGGUGAGGCUCUAAAACUCUCGAAGAUUUUAGCUUCACCUUAAAACGGCCAUUUCCUGGUUUCCCUGUUGAUCCAUCAUUUGAUGCAUCGACACCAGUAGUUGACACGGUGCUGAGCUUCUCUAAUAAAGUAGCAGAUUCAGGAACUGCUUCUGAAUUAUGUUGAUCACGAUCGCUCUGACCCAAUUGACUACUCUCUUCUGUGUUCAGAGAGACCGGAGACUUAGUCAGAUCUUUUACCACCAGUUUUUUAGCCCCUUUCUUGUGACCUGUUCUCUUUCCACGCUUGCGUUUCAUGAUCUUCUUUAUUAGUCAAUCGAGCACCGUCAAAAUGUAAAUGAGCUCUGUUCCUCUGCCAAAUGCCACUAAAAGACGUUCUUGUCCCUGAAACAUGAAGAUUAGUUAUUACUAAUAGUUCUAAUAACCUACUAGAAAAGGACAAAUAGCGGUAUCAUCAUAGCUAAACUUUUAAUCAGCAAAAAGCAAGAGUCAGGUAAAGAAGAUUCUAAAACACAAUUAAUUUCACGAAAAUUUUAAUAAGCAACUCACUAGCAAUUAACAAAAGCAAAUUAGAUGAGUAAAUGAUUUACUCAAGAGUGUCAAAGUCAACCAGAGAACAUAUUAAUCUAUUCGAAUUAAAACAGUAAAUAAAACAAUUAAACCCCCCGAGCACACUAAUAUAAUUCCAGUUGUUCAAUGUUCUGAAAUUGGAAGAUUAACGGAAAUACAACAACAAAAAGAUGCAUAAGUGCUUGAUCAGAGCAUCACACUACUUCAUCUUUAUUUUUUCAACAAAAAAAAAGAAAUUUUUGCUACUUUUAAUUAGCAAAAAAGUUUUUGUCACAGCUACCAAAUCAGAUACUCCUCUCCUAUGCCCAGGAAACACUAUUCGCCAACUUCAAAGUUCUUAAAAGUAAAAAAACAAAUCUUUCUCACUUGCAUUCCAAAUUUCGGAACAAUCACGCGCCGAAUUCAUCGCUAACUUUCGUGGAACAUCAGAACCCUUAGUUUUGCAGGCCAUGUGUACACUAAUUAUUCUAAGUCCAUAAUUUUGUACUUAAUGACGUAUUCCCAACGCCUUUCUUAGGUUUUUUUUUUCUUUAGUAUCAAGACUUGAAUGAUACGACAGUAAACUAAAUAUAAAAAUAAAAUAAAAAAUCGGGUAAAAAAAAAAACGCACUAUUCGUCAGUGCAGUAGAAGAAUAGGAAACCCUAAGCGGAAUUAAUACGCAGAAACCUAAAAACAAGAGCAAACAUAUCCCUAAGCGAGAGAGACAUCGAAGAAACGAUUCAUGUAUCAUUAACGAAGCGAAGUUAGCGACAGAGAAGCAAAUCGAAGCUCAGUUUCUCCAAUCGAUGAGGGUUUCUACGGCGGAGAUUAGGGUUUCCAACAGGGGUUUUGGGCAGGAGAAGAAGAAGAAGAAGAAGAAGAAGAAGAAGAUACCUCGGGAAAGCUCGUCGGGGAGGUGAGGAGACGACGGCGGAGAGAGGCGGCNCGGAGAUCGGCGGCGGCGGCGGCGGCGCCGCGGUGGCGACGGGGGCGGAGGAGGAUGUUGGGGGGAGACGAGUUGGGCUCGCGUCUUUUCGGGUUUGGGCUCGGGUUCGAGUUAGUUCUAGAACCCAAAAAAAAAAAGGUUAGGGGCCUUAGGGCCACCGUCACGUGCCGGGACUUGUGUAGCACGUGAGUAAAGGGUCCGAGAUAUUACUACGUGAACCUGGUCCACCAUGUCAUCUGUGGACCGAAUCCUCUCUUUCAAAUCACCACCGCCCAUCUGUUGACCGAAUCCUCUCUUUCAAAUCACCACCGCCCACUAUUGGUGCUGGUAAAAUUAAUUUUUUGAAUUCCGUUGUUUGUUUUGAUGUAAGUAAGUGGUAUAAGUUGUUUAAGGCUUCGUUCGAUUCGGGGUUAAAUAAAGAACUAGUUAUUUAAGAGAUAGGUAUAAGUUCAAGGUUAAGUGUGAAAUAAACUAAUUUUGUGAUGAAAACUGGAUUAUUCCUAGAAAUAAGAAAAAUAGCGUUAAAAAGAAUAGUGUGUAGUUAUAAACAGAAAAUAACUUUAUAUUUGAAUUUAAAUAUUUAAAUUUUAUAAUUUAAAUUUUAAAUUUAAAUAUAUAUAUAACUUUAAAAAUUAAAAAUUCAAAAUAAAAUUUGUUUUUAAAAUCUCAAAUUCAAAAAUUUAAAAUUCUAAAUUUUAAAUUUUAAAUUAAAAAUAUUAAAUAUUAAAUUUAAAAUUUAAAAAAUUUAAAAUAAUAUUUUAAAAUUUAAAAUUAUAUGUCUCAAUUUUAAGCUUACAAAUUUUUAAAUUCAAAAAAUUUAAAAUAUAAAUAUAAAAUUUAAAAUUUAAAAUUUAAAUUAAAAAAUAGAAUUGGGUGGGAUUAAAGUUAAUCCCACCCCAAUUCCAUAGAGGGGGUGGGGUUGGUUAAACCCCACCCCAAAAGGGUUAUUCCAGAGUAACUCUUUUGGGGUAGGGUUAACAAACCCCACUCGCCAAAAAUAUUGUUUGGAGUUAAAGGGGAGGGAUAACACUCUUAUCCCUCCUUUAAUUCCAAACCAAACAGAGGUUAAGGGUGUUUGAUUCCGCUACAUGAUCUAAAAAUAUUUUUACAAAUUUAAAAAAAUUUUAAAUUUUUAUUUUUUAUUAUUUUUUGGCGAAAAAAAAAACUAAAUAUACAAAAAAAAAAUUAUUUAUUUUUUCCACCAAACCAGACAAAUGUAUUUUUUUUUUCCUUUCAACCAAAUAAAUAUUAAUAAAAAUUUAAUUUUUUCUACAAAUCAAACACUAUAAACGUAUAAUUUCUUUCCACCAAAAAUUUUUUUCACGAAAAAUUAUUUUUUUUUUAUUUUACGUUGAACCAAACAGACCCUUAACCCUUUCUCAUUUCUAAGAAUCCAUUAAUUUCCUUCACAAGUGGUGGAGAUUCAAAGGGGAGAAACAAUGGACGGUAACGGAUCAUUUGGUUCACGAAUGAUAUGGUGGACCAAGUGUAGGCAAUAUUUACGAGAAUAGUGGUAUAAAUAGGCCGGUGGGCCCGCUCGAGCCCCUUUUUGAACAAGAACUGGGCCUAUGCAUGGCCCGGCCCAAGUAAAAACAAUUUAAAAAUUUUGAUAUGGGCUCCACCCAAUUAGUUCCAGGUUGCUCCGGUCAAUGCGGGUUUCGGGUCCUCGAGUUUGUUAAGUCAAUUCGGGUCGGAUCGGAUUCUGGAAUCAGAAGACACAUAUGAAUGACAUAAAUUUGAACUGCACCUUUUAUUGCCAAAUGAUUUACUCAUCAAAAUACUUAUCAAUCAUCAAUUACACAGCCUUUGUAUACAAAUCCGAAUACUAAAAGCACAUCCAUCGUCGAGUAUCUCAUACAAGACCUAAAAAUUAUUACAAAAAUACAACACAAUUCAGUAGUUCUCGGUGUAAUAGCUCAGUACCGAUCAAUCGGAGGAAGUCGAGAACCGAUAGGAGGCAUAUGAGAUGGUGCAGUUUGUCCAGCUGUGGUGAAUAAGCUCGGCCUUGGCUUUCACGCCCGCGGCGCCGAGAGCUACGUGAAGAGGGAAUAAGUGGUCCGGCCACGGGUGCGCCAUUUUACCGUACGGCGCCCUCUCCUCGAAGUUGUUUAUAUCGUCGUGUCUACGAAACAGCAAAGAAAAAGAUCACCAGUGAUGUGAAUUAAAUAGAACAAAAUAUUAGACCUCACUGAGAACAAAGCGGAUUUUAUGCAGACGAAGUUACAGAACAGAAUUUGAGAGUUUCGCAAGAAUCAGAAGUGACAAUUUCCGACACGACACGACAUGAUAAAGCAGCUGAAUAGAUCACAAUUAAAAAUUGCUGCGAGAAACUCGAGACUACGAGCCCGAAAAUACAACAAAGAAAUAAGUUUAAGCUUUUAAACAUUUAAGGUAAGUUAUGAACACAAUCUUAAAACUAGUACGAGAAUCGCCACCUCUGGACGUAAUAGUGAUUUGAUAAUUAUCCUAGAAUAAUCCGGUUUGAUCAGAAUAACUUCCUCGGACCCUUUCUCUUUUCUUUUUUUUUAAUGUGUUUAGCAUGAAAGGAGGGUAUUAACCUGUUCAUACCUUCCGUUAAUGAGAGAUUCUUUAAGCCAUGUGUCGAAACCCUCGGCCCACUUGGCGAUCGGACCGCCGUCCGGCCCAAUGCUCCUCAAAUUAUGUGUAGCGUUCCCGGACCCGAGAACAAGAACCCCUUCAUCUCUCAAGGGAGCCAAUGCUUUCCCCAUGUUAUAGUGAUACGCAGCACCCUUUCUGCUUUGAAUAGAGAGUUGGCAUACCGGGAUGUUCGCCUCAGGGUACAUGAGCAUGAGAGGGACCCACGCGCCGUGGUCGAGCCCGCGACUAGCGUCCUCCCUCACACGGCCAAACCCGGCUCCUUCCAGAAGCUCUUUCACCCUCUUUGCUAAGUUCGGCGCACUGGGUGCAGGAUACUUCAGCUGCACGAGGAAAAGUGAUUCAGUUAGCUCAAUGUAGAAGAUUGUUACCCUUUUGCUCUUUCCGAGCAAGAACGGUGAUAAGAAUCUUCUCUCGGAGGUUUCAUUAAAGAUUAAUUAAUGACUCAACAAACAAUAUGGAUAUAACUAAUUCAACCAACUAAUAGCACAUCCACCGAUCUUAUCCAAUUAAAUAUAAUAGUACAAAGUUAAUAUCGGCUUCGAAAUAGAUACUAUGAAGGGGGGAAUAAAAAUAAACAUUAUAAAAUGAGCUCAUGAUUUAUGUUUAGUCUGUUUUAUGCAAUACCUCCUCUCUUUUUUUCUGACACAAUGCUGAAAACUAGCGAAAUUCCCGUCAGUGCGACUGCAAAUUAGAUGAACUAUCAGCUAACUUUUUUUUUUUUUAUCUCAUCUUGUUCAAGCAAUGCAGGAAUUGUUUAACAUGACUAGUUAAUUGAAGAUAAAUCAUAACAUAAGAAAGGGUUAGGAGACGAGUCGUAUUCAGAAGAGAGAUAGAGACUUCUCUUGGCACCGAAGCAAAAGCAACUCGUCGCUCAAAUUUUGGUGAUGUUCUUCGUUUACGCGAGAAGUUAUUCCUCGAAGUUGCAGAUUACCAACAGGCUCAAUAAUCCGAUUUUGACGGAUUCAACUAGGAACAUAAAUAGAAAUUAGAGUGUCGGCUUCGAAGGAUCGACAAAAUUUGCAUGAAUUGUAAUACACCACCUGAACAUUAAAAAGUUGAAAUUUACCAUCUUAAUUAUACUUCUAUUUCAAUCCUACAUAUAUAACUGGAAAGAUGCAGUUAGGUCCAUGACAAUCUAACUAAAUGAUUAUACACAGAUGAUAAAUUGUAAUUAAUUAAUCCUAGAUGGUGAAUUAGGAUUCGGCAAAAUUGACACUAACAUCAACAAUCCUAUAUCCCAAAAGAUCCAAUUUUUAAGGAUUCAGAAGCAAGAUAAGAGAAAUCGAUGAAAUGGAUUCGUUAGAACCCUAACUAAAAUUCCAAUGAUUCUAGGGCAUAUUUCCCCAAUAAAAAGAACAAUUUUUUUGCACUCAAAUAGAGAACAUUCAUUCACGCCAACGUCCCAAACGAUCCAAUUUUGUUAAAUUCAGAGGCAAUUGAAGAGGAAACAACAAAAUGGGUUCAUUCAAACCCCUGAAAAAAGCAUCACCCGCCUGGUACACAGCCGUGCGAAUCGGGAAAAGUUGAAUUACAAAUUGAACUAAAAUUCAUGUGUUUCUAGGGCACAUUUUCCCCCAGAAAACAAAUUUGAAAACAUCAUCACGCUCCGACAUCCCAAAAACGCCCAAUUUUGAUGGAUUCAGAAGCAAUCGAAGAGAAAGCAACGAAGCUGAUUCAUGUAGAACGAUCACCUGGUACAUGGGCGUGGGGAAACCGUAGAAGUCGUGGAUGGUGUCGUGGGGGGCUGCGCCAUCAACGGCGCCAUUAACGGCGGGGUCGCGCGUGUCCCAAUGGGCGGAGACGACGAGGAUCGCCCUGGGCGCGGCCUCCAAAACCCUAGAUCGCCAUGAGCGGAGGAAGCCCCGCGCGGGGAUGCUCUCGUCCACCGCGAGCGUCGGCGAACCGUGGGAGACGAAGAACGUAUCCAUCGUACGCAAUUUCAAAUUCAAAAUUUUAUAUUUUAUAUUUCAAAUUCAAAUUUUUGAUUUUUUUUUUUUUCUUUGAAUGGGGUUUUGUGGGGAAUUUUGGGUGGUUUAUAUAUAGAUCGAAGGAGAGAGGGGUGGUUGAGAAAGUGAAACUAGUUUCCUGCACCGGGUGUACAAGAACGUCUCAUACACCGAAUUAUUAUUAUUAUUAUUAAAAAUUAUUAUUUUGGGAGAGGUUGGUAUCAUCGGUGACGUCACUGGGAAAGAGGAGAAAUAUUUUUCAUAAAAGUAAAUGUAUAUGUAAAAUAUAUGUUUUUCUAAAAAAAAAUUGUUUAAAUUAAUAUGUAUACGAUUUCUCCAUAAUAUUAGCCAGCAAUUUAUUGUAAAUUAGUGAUUUGAAUGAUUAAUUGCAAGUAGAUAACUCUAAUUCGUUGAACAGAUUAUUUUGAAGGGUUCUUUGAAUCAUUCAGCCUAAUUAUUUUUUGGAAAUAAUUUUCAAGAUUAGUCAAUUCUCUGAAUUGUGACACCCCAAUAGUCUCACAUCAUAUAAUUAUGUCUGGAAGUAUAUAAGUUUGAUUGGGUUAGACAUAAAAACUGAACUUAAGCAUUUUGGACUAGUGGUUUGGACCCAACGAGUUAUUAUUACUAGUGGACUGGGGUCUUAAUAAGGCUAGCGAGACAAGUCUCACAUCACCUCGUGAUUUUGAGCUGUGUUAGUCUCAUGUGGGAGUAUAAAGCUUGAUUGGGCUAGACAUAAUAACUGGACUUAAGUAUUUUGGGCUAGUGGUUUGGACCCAACAAGUUAUUAUUGCUAGUGGGCGGAUCGUUACAUGAAUCUUGAUUAUUACUAAACAUUAAUGGAAUGGUGAUGCUUCAACUGUCAAAGAAUCAAUUAUCCGAUUCAGUUCUCUGAACCUUGAUUAUAACUGGACAUUAAUGGAAAGUUGGUGCUUCAACUUUGAAAGAAUCAAGUAUCUCAAUUAAUGGCUUUAUAUAAGAGUAUAAGAAAAAGAUUUGACUUGUUAUAAAAAAGACUACCAAAUAAUAGAGUACAAAAAAUGUAAAAGGUAAACUUCAGUUUGCCCACGUAUAGUUUAGCUUAUUUUUAUUUUUUUCGUCAUGUGAUUCAGAAAGUUGCUUAUGGUUCAUAAUUUAGAGGAUUACCGAAAUAUUACAUAUCAAGAUUUACAAUAUUCAGUAAAUACUGUAUAUUUUAUUUUUGAAAUAAUAAGUUUGUUAUUAAAUUAUCAAAGUCAUUUACAUUUAGACGUUGUUAAAAACUGGUAUCUUUUUAUUAAUGAACUACAUACUAAUGAUUUUAAUCAAAUACGAAAACGAGAAUAUCUUCUAACUCAUAAUAAUCUUAUUGUAAUAAUUUUACUAUUCCACCAACAACUUUUAUAACUAUCCAACCUGAAUUGAAUAAUAAUAAUUUAAAUAUUUUUAAUAAAAAAUAUAGAAAAUUAUCAAAAUAUUACAAAGUGACAAGCAAAUGGAGCCAUAACAAUCAGCAAGUGAUAUUCAAAGAUAGCACACACUGUACACUGUGUGAUGCCAGGAUGUCAUCUCUAUGCAAGCACAAAGAGCAUCUUGAAGUCCAACAGAAGCUUCUGGUAUCUGCAUGACUGCAUACAAUGUAGAAGUUGAAUAGAAGUCUAUAAAAUCUAAAUGCUGUGAAGGUUGAGACAGGAUCUUGUCUAGGGUAGUUGGGUACAAAUGAUAGAUUGAGUAGAUAAUUUAUUUACACAUUAAUACGCAUGGAAUGUAUUUCUUUUUUUUCUUUUUUUUUUUUGAGAGAAAGGUAGCAUGUUACCCGUUUCGUUUAUUUCAUUUAGAAAUAAACUUAGCUGAAAAUGUGAAUUAACUAAGAUUCGAACUUAGGUCUCGGGUACCGACCACCAAACCCUUUUGCCACUUGCGCUAAGGACGGUCGGUGCAUGAAAUGUAUUGCAUCUCCAAAUUAGAUUGGAUAGAAUAAAAUAAAAACGUAAUACUGAGAAGAAAAAAAAAAAAAAAAAAAAAGACAACAUAUUUUUUGAAAGAAAUUUAAGUCUUUUUAGCUAUUGUGAAAUGGCCCCCCCUCUUUUUGGCUAUUGGCGCUAUCUUUAUUUUUAUUUCUUAGAAUCGAAUGUUUAGUAAUUAAAUUAAAAUUUUCGUCCAAUUUAUUGAUGAUUCCAUCAAAUUGUAAUAUUUUUAACUUUUCUAUAGCAAAGAAAAACAGGGGAAAAAAGUGUCAAUCACAAAAGUGGAAGGUGAGGAAAUUCUAUUCAAAUCCUACUUAUGAACUAUUGGAAAAUAUAACAUCCCACUUAGUUGAAACAAAUUGUUGAUAAAGUCCCUUCAUUGUUGUGAUUUCAUAGAGAAUUAUGCAGAAACAGAAAAAGAAAAAGAAAACCCUUCGGGAAGCAAAAUCUGAAAAAGCUACAAGAAUCAAAAGAUGAAGAAGAAAAAGAUUGAGAAAAGCCUCUGCUUUUUUGGAUACUUGAAAAUAAGAAGAUGUCGAGUAAGGAUAAAGUAAACAAGUAUUUCUUCUUGCUUGCUUGAAAAUAAAAAGAUGUCAAAAUGUAAAUACGAAAGAUGUCGCGACCAAAUUUAGAUAAAACACCUUGUAUGUAAAAUGCACUAUAUUGAGAUAUAAUGAUUAUUCGGGCCUUUCGAUAACUAAAGUCGAAAAACUUCUGCGUCAUUCGCUGAAACCAAACCCCCAUCCAACACAAAUUAUCCCGCUAUAACUUAUUCCGACAUUCCAACAGGCCCUAAUUCUAAAAUUACACAGAUAUCGAAUAAAUAUUAUUGUGGACUACAUGAUCUCGACCACUGCUCGGCCGAUGAUCUUUCCGCGGUCGAGAUCUUCAUACGCGCUAUUUGCCUCCUCGAAUUUGCAUUUUCUCGAGACGGAUUUUUGAAGGUUGAAGAUGCCCGUCUCUGCAAGCUUCACCACCUGGGGAAGAUCUUGCCUCGCCCUCGCACCAUAUGAACCGAUGAUUUUUAUCUGUUCACAAGAAGAAUACAUCAUGACAGCAAUGCACAAGUUAACCAACUGGUAAUAAAAGCGAUAACAAUAAUACUUGUACUAAACCUAGUAGUCGGUUGUACUAAACCUAGUAGUCGGUUUAAUGGUCACAUCAAUUCUUAUCGAAUAUUAAAAAUAUUACAUCUUCUAGCUACUACAUAUAACAAAGGAUUGCUUUCAAGUAACUAGUAAUAAAGGAGUUGGUGAAACAAACAAAUCCGUGCAAUAUCCCAUUAAUUCUCUUGCAAAUAUGCCUGUUUGAUGGAACCAAAAAGGAAAAAAGAAAAAAUAAAAAGGAUUGCUAUUAAAUUUAUUUACAGGAUUAUUGCAAAUAAUCCAGUAUAUACUCCAUGAAAGUGAUAAGGGAAAUAUUGAGAACGAAAUAAGAGAUUGAAUUGCCCAACUAAUUGAGAUACGCUAUCUUAUAAAGCCUAAAAUUUUUUAUUGGAGCAACAGGUAUGUAGGUAUACCUGUCUUCGAACAAGACGAGUAAUAUCCACCUCGCCCAUCACGUUUGUCGAAGCAAGGCCGAUCAUAACAGCUUUUCCUCCAUCACACACGCUUUUCGUGCAUUGCAUAAAUGUCUGCGGCUUCCCUAAUGCUUCUACAGCCACAUCUACACCCCUCCCCCCGGUAAUUUCCUGUAAAGAAGUCAAAAUUAAUGAUUACACAACAACCAGGAUCACAAAGUUUACAUUGCAACGUAUUUCUGAACUUCCAACUUCAACAAUAUGGUCCCUGAACUUUCUCAUAUAUUACAAUUCCAUCCUUCACUGUGAGAAAAGAAAGAUAAAUGUUCCUUAAAAUGACCAUUUUACCUUUCUCACAUAAAAUGAUGUCCUUGUUUCAAUACCUUUUAACAGGGUUAGAAAGGUCAUUUUGUAUGCAAUAUGUCAUGUAUUGCUAGAUAUCUUUUAGCAGCCAAGGAUAAAAUUGCACUCCGUUAAAAUGAAAAGAUUUAGAACUAAAAAGUGUUUGACUGAAAAAGUUCAGGAACUACGUUACAUUUUGUCUUUUGUCCUUCGUAUUUCAAUGACGAAUUAGAAAGGCUGGAAUGAUCGCUUCGGAUGAAUAUUUAUACAAAACAAUCACCAAAAAAGAAACUCCAUCUAAGAAAUUAAUUAAUCUUGUAACUUUUUAUUCGUGCCUGGAUUCUUUCAACAGCAUCUUCUUUUUGUGCAUUUAUUGUAUGGGUAGCGCCAAGCGUUGUGGCAUUUUGGAGCUUUUCAUCCGAGAUGUCGACUGCUAUGACUUCAGAAGCUCCAAAGGCUCGGGCUAUCUGUAGACAACUGCAGGGAAAACAGAGAAACAAAAUGAUGCAGUAACUUAAUUUUCCAUCAAAAGAGAAGAUAUACAAAUCUAUUUGCAAUAGUAAAGCCUUCAAACUUAACGAGACGGAAACUUCAUAAAUGCUCUUACCAAUCAGUGGACACAGCAUAAAGUACAAAUAAAAUGUGAUAAUAGGAUGAUUGUAGUAUCCACAGGCCAUAGCUGGAAGCUUUCUAUGCAAAUGGAGAAACUAGAUGCAAAUCUAACAUUAAUGAAAAUUUGACCUAAAAAUCAAAAACAGUCAAUUUCAUGAGCGCUUAUUAGAAAUAUGUUACAAAUAUGUUGUGAUAAAGCAACUAACAUGCUCUCCAUAAAGCAAGACAUUCUAUAACCUCAACAUUUUCCUGAAAACAAUUAGUAUAUUCGAGUAGCACUUUAUAGAACCAAACUGUGUUAAGAAAUUGAGGGGAUUUUAAUGAAAAUGCUAUUAGGGCUUCUUCGAAAACUCUGCUCAGGGAGCACCUUCUGCAGAACUCCAAUUGAGCCUAACAGGCCAUUGGUGGAUAAAUAAGAAAAUCAAGAAAGUUUUAAAUUCAGUAGAAGAUUGGUGGUCACCUCGAUCCGACCCCACCAACUCCAAUUACGGCAACUGAAUCCCCAGCACGCAUCUCGGCAGCGUGCCUCAUGGCACCAUAAGCAGUAAAGACUGCACAUCCUAGAAUCGCUGAUUCUGUAUAUGGCAGUGAGUUAGGAAGAACUGCCAAUGCAUUGGCAGGCACAACACAGUACUCAGCAAGUCCACCCAUACUGUACAUGUACACCGGCUUUCCUGUUAAAUUUUUUUUAAAAAAAAAGGAAGAAAGGAGUUUUAGGCACUAGUAUACAAAAUGGAAAGAGAUAUUUAUAUAUCUUCCUCCGGAAAAUUAUCCAUUUAUAUGUAUAUCCCUGCAGAAUCAGAAUUAUCAUAUAUGCUCUUCAGAAACUUGAUUCUCUCGUACUGAACUAACGAACCUUUGAACAACCUUUUCUAAAUUCAAAAACAAUAUUACCCCAUUACAUGGCUUACACAAGUAGACGCAUACAGUGCUUUAAAUUGCGGCCGCUAUAGCAGAUUUUAUGUGCUACCGUUACGUUAUAAUAUGUAAAGCGGUAUAUAACGGAUCGGGUUCAUAGCGGCCGCUUUAUCGGCAUAGGACCCGUUGAAGCGGCCGCUAUAAAGCAGUUAGAAAGCGGGCGCUAUUAGUCCAAUUCUUAAAAAAGUGCAAACGGGUUAAAAUAGCUUAAUGUUUCAGAUUCUUAAAUGAAAUACAAAGAUCAAACCAUGUUUCUAAGGGUUUGGAAGAUAAUUAUUUACCUAAGAUAUUCUUUUUGACAUUCAUUUACAAAUUGUUUAGAUUGUUAAUGGAUUAUAGAUUUUCAAAUGUUAUGUCUUUUUGGUUUGCUAAAUAUUUCGAAGUUAAUUUUAAAUUCUUAAUAGAUAACGAUAUUAAUAUAUAUAGGCUUGCAAUACUAAAAAAAAAAGAAUGAUUAGUUGUCGUUUUUUCAAAAUUAUAUGUAUUUUUUAUAAGGAAUAUAAACAUAUUAAAUAUGCUUUUAUGAAACCCGCUAUGGGUUCAUAGCGUCCGCUAUGACGCCCGCUAUCCAUUUUCCGCUAUGAGACUCUCCAAAUGCUAUGUACCCGCUAUCCGUUAUUUACAACCUUAGAUGCAUACCAUUGCUGCGUAGAAAAAGUCGUGUUUCGCCAUCAUAGAGUGUCCCUUUGGCACGAUUAUAUGCGAAGAAGGCCUCACAUAGAUCUUCUUGUCCCUAUAUAUUUAUAUUGAAAUAGGUCAAGCCACAAAGAACUAAUUUAGCAGUAAAACAAAUAAAUAUUCAGAGAGAAGCAAAAUCUUGAUAACUACCUUAACACAGUAAAAGCAAUUGCCACAAGGCAUUAUGAAAGCACCAACUACAUGACUCCCAAUAGGAAACCUGAAGAUGACAAGUAUCAAAUAUUAUUUCUGCUGAACAUUAUUGAAGGUUCCCUAAUUGAACAGACAAUAUCUCAUAAUAUUUGCAAAAGGGAAAAAGAACAGACUAAGUUGCAAAUACAGAAGAAAAAAAAAAGAAAUGGAUAUUUUUGCAAAGUGGCCGAGAAACAAGUUUCGCUCUCACAAAUUCUUGGCACAUGUAAUUAUACCUCUCUUUAAUCCGAUUAUCAGUGUGUGCACCAUACUCAACAACCUCUCCGGUUAUUUCAUGCCCCACAACACAAGGACUUGCGAAUGGGAGUUCACCUUUCAUGACAUGAAGAUCGGAGUGACAAACGCCACAGGCUGCAUUUAUUGAUCAAAGGCAGAUUAAUAGCAUAAGCCGUCAUUUUGAUAAGCUUCAUAUAACCCACAAUUAGGUCAAAAAAGAAGGAAACAGCAAUUGCCGUAUACAGGAAGGAUGAUUACAAGGCAGAGUAACAAACCAUAGUACAAGUAUAUGAAGAUAAGUUCAGAAAUUUAAGUAAACUCUUCGUCUAUUGAGAUCUCAUGCUGUCCUGGUCGUGGCAUCUAAUUAUCUCAAAGCAGUACCAAAUGGUGGUUAACAAAUGCAGAAGUUUGCACAAAGUUAAAUUUGACAGUUGACCAUGUAGUUUAAAGAUUAGUCUCUAUAGUUCUCCCCAUUUGUACGUCACAAUACAUGGAGGAUUUGACCACAAGCGCAUCAGUAUCCUAUUGAAUGAUAUUUCGUGAAGACAAUUUGUGAGCUCUCAAUAGGAUAUCAUUAUUUGGUUUAAGCCAAACUAAUUUUGAAUCAAUUUUGUAAUUAGAUAUGGAUGAGACAACUUGACAACCUUGCUGGGUACUUCAAUUCUUGUAAUUUCUAUGAUAAUCCCUCAAAUCAUCAAUCCUUUUUUUUUUUAACAAAACACAAGAACCUAGCUGAGAUAAAGACAUCUGGAUAAGGAAAGGUCAACUUUUAACCUCCAGUGCAGAAAAAGUUUUCUCAUCUUCCCACCAAAUUUCCACCUACUUCUCCGAACCAUCCUGCUCCGACAAUCCCACUCUUCCUCUCCUCUUCUCCCUUUUAUAGAACCUUUUAAUAGUACUAUCCUAAUUUGAUUGAUGAUCUCCAACAAAAUUCAGAAUUUUCAGCCUACUAACUAAAACAUUCUCACUCCUCUUUUCUCUCGCUCUCUCCUUUAAUCGGAUCUCAACUUCUAUAUGCAUACGGCAUCCUUUUUCUUAAGACACAAUAGGGUGAGCAUUAGGGGAAAAAAGAAGAGAUCCUAAGAGUAGGUCCGAAGGAAUCAUAUGAGAACCCGAAAAGCAUCCCAUUAGUUAAAAAUACUUAAAAAUACGUCGAAGAUGAAUGGAAUUGACCUGAACUAUGGCCUGUUUAGGGAUAACUGCCGAACUCUUAAAAGUUCUGACUUUGCUAUAUAACGCUUCGAUUCCUUUGGAUUUAAGUCAUUUAGUAGGUCUUCAGUCAUAAAAUUUGCUGUACUUUAACAAGAACGUUGCCACAUAAAUCACAUGAGAUACUUAUCAAAUUAAUUACGAAUUGAAAGGUUAUAUAUCGAAAUCAAAAGUUUCAGGGUUGACUAGUCAUCUCAAAUCGGGGCAUAGUUCAAGUAACUGUGAUAGGUUUUUACCUAAAAAAUAUCAUAAACCAUUCUUGUUGUUAGUGAAUUAAUAAUUUAACACAAUGUGAGGUAUAUCAUUGGCAUAUUCUUCGAAUCUACAGUUAAAAUAACCUAGUAAUAUAAUACACAGCAUGAUGAUAGUGGGGCACUGUUACGUAGUUUACAAAAAGUUGAGGAACUAAUCUGCAAUAAUCCAAAGACCAAAUGGAUUUUUUAAUAGGAACAAAACAAACCGAUCAACAUCAAAUCGACAGAUACCCAAGAUCGGAGACUAAAGCCCUAAUAACGCGAUCGAUUGCGAGGGGGUAACGAUGAGACCUUUGGUCCUGAUGAGGAGCUCCCCGGCCUUGGGGCGGGGCAUGCGGAACUCCUCGACUGCGAGGGGUCUCCCGGGCUCCCAGAACACGACCCCGCGCAUGGAGGAGGGGGCUCCGUCGACGAAGAACCCUGCGGCGGAGGAGGCGCCGCCGCCGCCGCCCCGCUCCACCCCCGCCGCGGCGGCGCAGAGGGAUCGCCGGAGAGGGGAGGGGCGGAGGAGCUUGGGGAGGCGGCGAAGUAGGGAUCGAGAGGCGUAGGAGGAGAAGAACGCCAUUGGAAGAGGACGAGGAAGAGAGAGAGAGAGAGAGAGAGAGAGAGAGAGAGAGAGUAGAAGAUGGAGAGACUCUCGGAGACGAAGUAGAGAGAGAGAGAGAGAGAGAGAUUUGUAUAGUGUUCGUUGAGGGGGCCCACCAAAAUAUACAUAUAGAUAUAGGGAUAAUUACUUUAUACCCCUCAACACAUCUGAAAUUUCUUAUUUAUCCCUGUUUUGUUUUUCAAAUAUAUUGCUCGUAUAUUUCUCUAUUAUUUAAAAAAUAUACUGUUAGUGUACGUUGAGUUAUCUCAGAUUAAAUAAUUUAAUUUAUACCAUAGUUAAAAAUAGUUGAAAUACCUAUUUUGUUUCUAACUUAAGGACAAAUAAAAAUAGCUGGUGAUGUAGAAGAGCAUUUAAAAGAAUAAAAAAAUCAAAAUACUUUUUUAUCCUAACUUAACAGUAAAUAAAAAAAUCGGUGAUGAUAAAAAAAUAUAUUUAAAAGAGUAAAAUGAUAAUUUCCUAAAGAUAACGAUGGCCCCUAAUAGUUCAUUAAUAGAAUUUAACUCUAUAAAUAUAUUUGAAAAACUUUAAAAUUUUGAAAUGAUAUUUUUAAUGUGAACCAGAAAUAAAUAAGAAAAGCCAAAAAAUUUUAUCCAUCUUUGGAUCAUAUUUGGAUAAAUUGAUAAGAUGAUUAAUUAGAUUAAGGCUUUAUAAGAUAAGAUAUGAAUACAUUUUGGAUGAUUUAAAUCUAAUAAUAUAUAUUUUAAAUUGAUAAUUUUUUAAAGGAGAAAAAAUAAGCUCAAAAUAGUUGGAACAAAAUUUGCCAUUGCAUACAUUAUUGUUUUUUUUUUUUUUUUUUGAGGGUCAACACAUAUAGAACUUAUCAAAAUUAUGGAUCACUUUAAAUUUACUAUCCGACUUUUUAAAAAUUAAUUUUACUAUCUAAAAUUUUAUUCUAUUUGAUUUGAGUCUAUCAACAGUGCAUUGACUUAGGAUUUAAACUUAUUUCUUACUUAAUAAAUUUAUAAUUAUAAAAAUUAUAUAAAGUAUACUAAGUAAAUUCAUAUAGAUAAAUAAUGUAUUCAAAGUUUAAAGUAAAAAUACCAUCGAAUGACUCAAACCAAAAAAAUUAAAAUUAGAAUUUUAAAAGAUGGAUAGCCGAAUUAAAAUAAUUUAUAUUUUAGAUAAGUUUUGGGCCAAUUUGCAUAAAAAAUUCAUUUAUUUUAGAUUUUUGCAAAACCGGGCCACCUUUUUCGUUUUUGCAGAUUCGGUCCACUUUUUCAGCAAACUGACCAAAAUACCCUUUUUACUUUUUCUCUUUCUUCUUUCUCUCUCCUCUUUCGUUUCUCUCGUUCUUUUUUUUUCUCGCCGGCAGAGCGGAGGCGGAAACGGUCCGUCUCGCCUCUCACCCUCAUUCUCUAGCCCUCGCCCUCGUCCUCGCCCUCGCCCUUGCCCUCGUCCACGCACCCCCCACCUUCCUCGCCUCCAACCCCGCUAAGGCCGCGCCACGACUUUUUUUUUUUUUUUUUUUUUCUUUCUUUUCUUCUCCGACUCUUCUCGACGUCUUAUCUACAGUUACGACGAUUACCUCUCUGUCCUUCCCCCUUCUCAUCUCUUCCCUCUCCCUCAUUCUCUGCCGCUCGACGACGAUGCAUCUUCGCCGGCGCCGACGUCGACACCCGUGGAGCGUCACUGCGCUCCACAGGUCGCGAAGCGGGGUCCUUAGCGCGUGUCAGUCGCCGGCACCGGGCCUGUUUCCAGAGAAGGUGACAAAAAAAAAUUAUAGAAAAAACAAGAAAAAAAAAAAAAAUAAAGAUAAAAAAAAAAAAAAAAAAAAGAAAAAAAAAGAAAAAAAAAAAUAAAAAAAAAAAAAAAUUAAAAAAAAAAAAAAAAAAAAAAAAAAAAAAAAAAAAAAAAAAAAAAAAAAAAAAAAAAAAAAAAAAAAAAAAAAAAAAAAAAAAAAAAAAAAUUAUAAAAAAAAAAAAAAAAUGAUAACAAAAAAUUAUAUAAAAGAAUGAUGAAAUCAAAUUGGUUUAUUGUUAACUGCCCAAAACAUAAAAUUAUAAGUAUUGCACGUAUUUAGAUGUAAACUGCCAGCUUUUAGAUGAAAACUCUACUCUUUAAACGAAAAUUACACUAUUGAGCAGAAUAUUUACACUGUUUCUUUCUUAUUACACUUGUUCAGAUGCUAGAAACUGGCAUACAUUAAGAUGAAAGUUACACACUCUUUUAAACAAAAGUUGCCACUGUGUUUCCCUGCUUGUUGGCCGCUUUCCUCUUUGUUAAAAUAUUUUUUAUCUUAAACUGCCACCCUUUUAAGAGAUAUUGUAUACUGAUUUCUCCUCUUGCUUGACACCAUUUUGUUUGUGUAAAUAGAGAGAAUCGUGACAAGCAGGAGGAGAAACAGUGCAAGAAGAGAAGAAACUGCACUGUUUUAGGAAUAUAUAUUUACCUGUUUCUCUCUUGUUGCAUCAUUUCUCGUUGUAAACAAGAGGAGAAAUAGGCUCAAACAGAGGAGAACUGCACUAUUUUGAAGAGACUAUAUCUACUGUUUCUUUCUAUUGUUGCACUGUUUCUCUUCUUGUUGCAACAUUUCUGUGUAACACAAUAGCAAGAAAUAGUGCACAUAAGAGGAAAACAAAUGCAUAAGAGGACGAAACUGCACCUUUUAAGAGUAUUAUACUGUUUCUCCUCUUAUUGUACUGUUCUCCUCUUCGUUGCACAUUUCUCUGUGAAAUAAGAGGAGAAAUAGUGCAACAACAAAAGAGAAACAGUGCAACAAGAGGAGAAACAGUAUAAAUAUCACUUAAAAGGAUGCAGUUUAAGAUAAAAAAUAGUAUAAUUUUCGUUCAAAGAGUAUAAUUUUUAUCUUAAAGCAGCAGUUUACAUCUUAAAUAGUGCAACUUAUAAUUUUUUUGUAAUUAACGAUGUAAUUUCAUCUUCAUCCUUCUUUUUAUAUAAUUUUUUAUCUUUAUUUUUUUUCUGUUUUUUCUAUAAUUUUUUUGUCACCUUCUCUGCCAACAGCUACGGCGCCGGUGACUGCGCCGGUGACGACGCCGCUAAGGACCCCCCGCUCCGAGGCUGUAGCGCCGCAGUGACCUCUACGGUGUCGACGUCGGCGCCGGCGAAGAUGAAUCGUCGUCGGAGGCGGCAGAAAAUGAGGGAGAGGGAGAGAUAUGAAGGGCGGGGAAGGGCGAGAGGCGUCGUCGUCGGAGACGGUGGAGAAGAGUCGGAGAAGAAAAGAAAAGAAAAAAGCAAAAAAAAGAAGUCGCGGCGCGGCCUUAACGGGGUCGGAGGCGAGGAAAGUGGGGGUGCAUGACGAGGGCAAGGGCGAGGGCGAGAGCAUGAGGGUGAGAGGCGAGACGAACCGUUUCUGUCUCCGCUCCGCCUCCGCUCUACCGGCGAGAAAAAAAAAAAGAACGAGAGAAACGAAGAAGAGAGAGAAAGAGGAAAGAGAAAAAGUAAUAAGGGUAUUUUGGUCAGUUUGCUGAAAAAGCGGACCGAAUCUGCAAAAAUAAAAAAGGUGGCCCGAUUUUGCAAAAGUCCAAAAUAAGUGAAUUUUUUAUGCAAAUUGGCCUAAGUUUUGUAUGUUUUUACCUUCUAAUUUUUUUUCAAAAUUAAGAGACAUUGCAUAAAUCCUAGAAACAUUGGGAAUUAAUAUACAAAGAACACAACACAUCUUCAAAAAUUAUGAAUCAUUUUAAUUUGACAAUCCAAUUUUUAAUAAUUUUAAUUUUAUUAUUCAAUUCUUUUAAUUUGUUUGAUAUUGAAUCAGUAAAUAUAAAUAAUAUUUUGAAUUUAAAGUUUAAACUUAUUUAAGUAAAUUUAUAGUCGUGAGAAUUAUAUGGAGCACGCUAAUUAAAUCUGUAAAAAAUAAAUAAUAUAUUUUAAUUUUAAAAAUACAGGUGUACUACUCAAAUUAAAUAAAUUAAAAAUUAGAUAAUAAAAUUUAAAUUUAAAAAGGUUUGGUUAGUUUGUGCAAGUUUUUGACUUGAAAAAUUAAAAAAGGGGGCGAACUCCGCUGAAGAGCCGAAGAAACCCUCGUCUCUCUCUCUCUCCCACGCUGCCUCCUCUCUCUUUCUCUCUCGUGCGCUCUCUAAUGGCGGAAGAAGAGAAUAAGACGACGCCGCCGCCGACGACGCCGCCGCUGCCGACGACGACGACGACGACGACGACAACGAAGACGAUCCCUGCGCGCUACGACCUCGAUGCGAAGUGGGACGCGUGCCUCGACCUCUCCAUCCGCCGCGUUGUCUACUCCUCCCUCGCCGGCGCCUUCACCGGCCUUCUCUUCUUCCGUGAGAACCUAAGCGCCCCCACCCCUCCCCAUCUCUCUUUCUCUUUCUCACUCUUAUCCCCCGAUUCGAUCGUAUGACCUAGCCCAAAUCGGUUCCCCCCUUUCGAAUCCGUCGAUUUGGUGCUCAUUUCGGCGUUUUCUGCGAGAUUUCUUUUUUUUUUUUUUUAAUGCCUGAUUAGUUGGCUAGGGUAUUGUCUUACCUAAAAUCUGUUUCCCUCUGCGAACCUCGUCGAUUUGAUGCUCAUUUCACUGUUUUUUGCGAGAAAUUGGGGUUUUCUUGCACUUUUAUGCCCGAUUAGCUGAUUUGGGCGACAGUUUUGCCUAAAAUUGGUUUCCAUCUCUCAGAUUCGGCAUAUUGAUGAUCCUAAUGGCGUUUUGUGUGAGAUAAUUUGCUUCUGUUGUUCUCUUUAGGCCGAAUUGUUUGAUUCAUUUCACAGUUUUAGCAAUUUAUCCGCUUAUUUGCUCUUGCAUAACUGAUCUGCUUCAUAUGUUUCUAAGCAUCUAGUUUCUGUUGUUGAAAUGCUCACUUAUAGGGUUUGAUCAUUCUUUUACUAUUGUAGUAAGUAGAUAUGGCGAGAUUAAUCUGUAUUGAAGCUUGUAAUGUUUGAUUCGUUAUCUGGGUUGUAAUCUUUGUGGGACAUGAUUUGUGUUUUUGGUUCUUUGAUCUAUCACUAUUGUGAUGAUCUUUUGCAUCAUUUAUGAGGGAACAGGAGGAGAGAAAAUUGCUACAUGUAUUCAUCUAUGAAAUAAUGCAUGUGGAAAUAGAGCCAUCAGAAACCAAAUUUUUAUUCUAUGUCUAGGUUAUGUCCAAAUAUAAUGCCCCAGUUGGUAGCUUAGGAGAGUUGGUCCUUAGUUUCUCCAUCAGAGUAUGACAUUCCUUCCUCUCCUCUAUGGAUCAUAGCUGAUUAUUUAAGGUGCAUUAAAUCUUCAUGUUACUGCUUAAAAGGUUAUUCUGUUAUGCUUGAUACUUGUUUUUGCCACUUUAUGUACACUGUUUUACUUUCACUAUCCUUAUUCUCUAUUGUUUCUAUACUGUUAGGGAGCCCGACAACUCGAUGGGCAUCCAUAGCUUUUGGUGCUGGAGCGGGCGUUGGAGCAGCAUACACAGAAUGCUCGUAUCUGUUUGAUGGUUCUGCUCCCAAGUGGUCUCCGCCUCCUAAGGUUUCAACUGUUCAUCCUGCUUCCUCAUUGGUAUAUAUAUAAUUUUUAUUUUUUCCUUCGAUGCUUAUUAUUGAUUUUGUUGUGUUUAUAAUACUUGGUCUAGAUGAGAGAAAGGAAAUAGGAAAUUGGGGUUUAUCACAUUUUCAAUUAAAAUCCUGGUUGAACUGUUCCGAGGAAAAUACUUUCUUGCCUUGCACUGCUGAACAAAUUUUUCGAGUCACUUUUGUGUCUUUAGAAUACUAGUUUUCAGCGGAACUUUCUGAAAAUUUGUGAGAAAAAACUAUACACGAUACUACGCAAAUGUUUCUUAUACACGUCAUCUUCAUGCAUUCUGGUUGUUCUCUCUGACCCGUGAAAUUUCUUCUAUGGUUGCGCAAUAUUGGAAAAUAGUAUGCAAUGAAGAGAUGGUUAUUAAAUGCUGACUAUCUGUUGAGCUAAUUUGACAAAAUCAUGCUAUUAUUCUAUGAGUGUAGUUUUUUGAAUGAUGUAUUUCCUGAUUAUUAAUGCCUAUGAAUUGUUAAAUACAAACUAAUCAGUCUUCCUUAGAUAACAAAGUAUAUACAUGUUGCAUGCAUGUAAUUACUCAUUGUGCUCGGUACUUUUGAAAAUAUAGCAGAAGAAACUGGUGUACGAUUUGUUUUUCUAUUUUACUGGAUUAUAUAUGGCUUUAGAAAAUUUCUAUUUGUAAAAUGGCAACUAUCUAUAAAUUUGUAACUUUUGGAUCCAAGUUUAAAACAGAAAGAAACUCGUAUAAUAUGGAACUUCUAUCUGGUAGUUAUUAUAUAGAUUGACAUUUACAACUUAUAUAUGUGAUGCAGUCUAAUAUUUCUUUAGUGCCAUUUUCCUUUUGGCUAUCACUACCUUUCUAAAAGGGCUAUUAUAAUCCUACUAACAAUCUUAUAUUUAUCAGUUGUUAUUUUUGAGAGUCCGUGCAAUGUUCAUGUCUUAGGAAUGUGAUAUAAAUUUUCUCUUUAUAUAUCACCUAUUUUAUAUGUUUGAUUGGUGCUUGUGUGGUCUGAAUUGAUAUGGUUAUUAAAGGAGAAAUUAAGAUGAUAGAACGAAAAUCUCUAAUUUUAAAGAUUUGUCACUAACAUGCAGAUCAGCCUGGACAUGUUAAUAUCUCAUAAUUGAUUUGAGAGCUUGUAAUAAUGUCUUUUUAAUAAUGGUUACUAAAGAAAAAAGAGCACUAAAUGUUUUCUCAUUAAGAUGAGUAUAAUGUGAAAGCUUUUCUUAAGCCAUUUAAUUUGAAUUCAAGUUGAAGAUUUUUCUUUGUAAUGUUAAUGCGAUCUCUAUUUUUAAAGUAGUACUAAAAUGCAUUUCGAUUCUUUUUUCUUAAGGAUUUAAUGCACUAAAGAGAGAAGCAAAUUAAUCAGUUAUUUCUUUUGUUUUGCUUGGGCAUGGAUUAAUGAUGCAAAAACAAGAAUCAUGUGUUGUAAUUUUGUUAUAUUCUUAUUUACAUAUUUGUUAUAUAUUGAAGUGUGAGUUAUCCACCAUGUAAUUGAAAAUGUGAACUGUCAUAUCCUCCGUAAUGCAUCGUGAAACUAUCAUAUGCUCAUCAAAUUAUGGUGUCUUUGGACACUAUACCAAUUUUUUUCCUUUUAGACUGAAGGCUUUAUAUCUAACCUAUAGGCGGAAAUCUUUUCUUUAUCAGAGAAGUGAACCAAUGAAGUAAAAAAUCCUAACUCCUAAUAUGAAUAUGAUGAUUGUAACACUUAAGAUCUAAAAAAGUCUCUUAACGUUUUGAAAUCGUGUUGAAAUCGUGAUGAAUGGUAGCACUUCCUUUGUGCCACAUUUAUUGGGGUUCAUGUUGAAUUCUUGUAGACUGAUACUGGCUUUUGACAGUAAAGUAACAUCAGUAAUAGUAUUACAAACUGUAUGAAUAUUAUCCUGUGAGAUGUGCAACAUAGAAACUAAAAAAAAACAAUUGAUAUAAAGAAACUGGUGAACAAUCUUGAUAAAAAAAAAAAGUAUAUAGAAUUCUAGCUCUCCGUGCGAAAAUGGAUAAAAUCAACAAAAGAGUGGUUAAUAUACGGAUAUCAACAAUUGAUGUGCGAACAACACAUGUAGAAAAUACUUGAUUGCUUUGAAACUACUUAGAAAUUUCACAUGUUACAUUAUAUGUGGGAGCACUCAGACGCUAUCGAGCAUGAAACCAGAGGAAUUGUGCAAAACGUCAGUGAUACGUAGGAAAUGUAAUAAUGCUGUUUCUUUCAGUUGUAAGGAGCAGUCUGAAUUGAUAGUAAACUUAUAUCACAUUUCUUUAUCCUUCGAUAACAGAAAUAAAAUAGGCAUUUUUUUAGUCAGUGCGAUAUUUAGUUUUUGAACUCUAAAAAACCAAGAAACUUGAACCUCUUCUUACUUUCUGUUCUUUCUGCUUUGUAGGAAGAGAAGUGAAUGACUGAUCAAAAGUCUUUUGGUUAAGGAAUUUUUGAAGGUAUGGAGCAAGAUAUUUCUUUCCUUUUGUAUGUCGGCUUGACCUUACACUGAGGAACUGUAUUUGCUCCUUUGGAUCUGUUAUACUAUUGAGAAUAUGUUUUGUUUCGAGCUUUGUUCAAUCACUGAUGUUCCCUUGUUUGAUUGUCGAAAGCAGCAAUAAAUGCAUGCUAUGUAAACCUUUUGAUAGGUGCCCUUAAACUUUGUGAGAAUAGCUUUAGCAUCAAUGCCAUAUUUUUAUGAACUUUUUUUUUUCCCCCUGAUCAUUAUUCCCUUGCUCUUUGGUGUCAUUUAAGAAAUCUGCCCAAAAUUGCUAUGUGAUAUGGGACUGCUCCUCCCUUGCGAAAUUCACAACAGGAAAAUCAUAUAGGGUUUACACACCUGCAAUACGUGAAAUUGUGCACAAGACUAUGUUCGUAUUCAUAUAUGCGCCCGUAAAACCCUUACUUAUUUUGGCGCAUGGCGUUGCUAGGUAUUUUGUCCAAAACUGUGCGUAUUAUUUGCAGAGCGCACAACCCUGACGGUGUCUAUGUCUAAGUAGACAGAACUUCGGGCUGUAUGUGUACAAAUACCAACUCUGCAGGGCUAUUUCAGUAAUUUCACAUGUUUGAGAGCGGUAUGUUUCUAAUUCUAUUCAGCGAUGUAAAAAGUAGAAGUUUCAUAUCAGAGUUUUUGAGUUUUAGUUUGCGUAGAAGCUCAUUUUUAGCUUCUCAUUUUAGUUAAAAAUUCCGUAUUUCUCUUAUUCAUCAUAGGCUUGUUGCUCGUGCUUUUCCUGCAGGUCUUUUUGUCCUUUUUCAAUCAGUGUAAAAUUCAGAUGUUUCUUUUUCCUUAGCUCAUAUCUAAUUAAUACCCAAGUACUUUUUUUUAAAAAAAUCUCAAGUAAAUGAGGCUAAAAAUACUGGCAAAUGUAUUUAGAUUCCAUGCCAUCAUUUACUUUUCUGUUUCACCCUUCCUGUUCACUCUUUAGAUUCACUCCCAAUUUUGGAUAGGAUGCUUUUGAAGGGACAAAUUUUGCUCUCUCAUAACAAAAAUUCUGAAGUUCAAACACCAGAUGCUUAUAAUCAUCACAAAAUUUUAAUGAAAAUAUUCAAAUAAUAAUAUAACUAAGGGUAAGUUGUACAUUUGGUCCUCAAACUAUGAGGUGAGGUGGGUGACACUUUACUCCCUAUAUUUCACUUUGUGGUAAUCUUUUUGCUCAAACUUUUAAGACUAGUGUAAUUAAGUCCUAUAACUCACUUUAGUUAAUUAAACAUUGAUUUAUCGCUAAUAGUAUUGUGAUUGAUAAUACGCUAAUAAUUAAGAUACUAUUGUACUUUUACAUCAACAAUGUAUUAAUAUUUACUCAAAUAAAUAGGAUUGUGAGAUUUGAUUGUAAUAAUUUUGAAAGCCGGAGUCAAAAAUAUAUAACAAAUUAAAGUUUUGUGGAUUAAAAUGUCAUAGUUUGAGAACCAAAGGUGCAAUUUACUCUAUAACUAAAAGAGCAAAAGAGGGCGAGGCGAGUGUGUGUGGCCAAAUGGGGUUAACCUGGAGUUUGAACAAAUUUUUGAGCAACCAUCAAUUAUAACAGAUUUUUUUUUUUUUUUUUUUUUUUUUUUUUUUUUUUUUUUUUUUUUUAGGUAUGUAUAGGACUUACCUAGAUUAUAGAUUAUUUUGAUUCGGCUAUAUUCAAAUUUUUUAAAAUUUGAUUUUAGAAUCUAAGUUUUUUAAUAUUUUUUAUCUAAAUUAUUUGAUGAUUCUUUUAAUAUAAAAUUUAAAAGUUAAUUAUUUUAAUGUAUUUAUAAUUAUAUGAAUUAUAUUAAAUAUAUUGAUUAAGCAUAUAAAAAUAAAUAAUGCAUUUAAAUUUUAAAGUAAAAUAGUUUUUUGUAACGAUUCGAUCCACCGGUAAUAAUAAUUCGUUGGCUCAAAUCACCGGCUCAAUUAUUAUCACAGAUUCUAACCAUUUAGGUUCUGACGUUCUCGUUAGCCCUAAAUUUGGAAGAGGACUACUCCAAGAUCAUCAGGUGAUGUGAGAUUUAUCUCGCUAGUUUUGUCAUCCUAUUCUAGCUUAGCUUGUCAUCUUGUCAUUCCGACACUAGCUCAGCCGAAAUUUAUUUUACAUUUCUGGUUGGUGAUUGGCUAUGAUAACAUAUAUUUUCGGCUGGUGAUUGGCUCUAAUACUAAAUGUAACGAUUCGGCCCACUAAUAAACAAUAACUCUUGGGUCCAAAGCAUUAACCCAAAGUAUUUUAGCCGAGUUAUUUUUACUAUGAUAAAAAUUUUUUAUACCUAAUGACAAUCCUAUUUUCAUCCGAUAUAGGAUUAUUGGGUAUCAUAUUAUUAAUUUAUUCAAAUUAAAUAAAUUAAAAGAUUAGGGAAUAAAAGAAAAAUUAGGUAGCUAGAUAAAAAUGGGUGGUAAUUGAGGUACGUUCUAUACAUUUUAUUCUUUUUUUAUCUUAAAGAGAAUUCCUUUCAGAUUAAAAAAUGAAAUUGUAUGUAAAGAAAUAAAUAUGAAGAAUCUCCUCUUCUCUUCUCCAAAAUUUAAUUCAAAUUUUGCACAUAAAAAAAAUGUCCAUUAAAAAAAAUUAAUUGACAACAAUUUAUGUUUAAGUGCAAUGAAAAUUUUCUAUUUAAAUCAAUUUAAUUGCACAUUAAUGGAAGUACCAAUAAAAAUUUAAUUCACAAAAAAAAAAUAUUUAUGUUCAAAAUAAAUGUCACGUGCGCUGCACGCUAGUUUAGGUAAAGAUGCAUAAGAAACCCCUUCACUAUAUCGCAUUUUGACAUUACCCCAACAUAUUUUUUUUUGUUCACGACUCUAAACUAUUUAUCUUUUUAGAGCCGAAUAAUUUCAGGGAAAUAAAUUAAAAUUAAUAAUUAACAGCUAAUAACUACUAGAACUAGAAUCACUAAAUUUAAUAAAAUUUUUCAACAUAGUUAAAAUAAUUUAAAUUUUAAAAAAAUAAAACAACUUAGGAAUUGAGGGAAUCUCUACCCCAAGAAACCAGUGAAGUUAAGAGCCACUUCCAAAAUGGUUUAUAAUGAGGGGAACCCUUCCAUAUACAUAUUUACCCUACACUUGUUGUUACAUAUAAAAAUAUUUAAACACCGUUAUCUAAUAGCUUAAAUUUUUCGAGUACAACGACUGUCUCAUAAAAUAUCAGAGCAGAAAAUUCUGAAUUCGAAUCACACCAAACUCCUAACAUAUUAAUUUCCUCCAAUUUAAUUCAAGCAUGCGUCAUGGGCCGACUAAAAAAUCACGAGCCCAGACGUGAGGGGCUCACACUUCUUGGCAUAAAUGCCAGAUAACAACACAACAUUUAAAAUAACAAAGAAAUAAAAAAGAAAAAAAAAAAACUUCUUAUAAGUUAUAAUGCACCAACCCAUCAUCAAUCUACAUCUCUAAGCUCAAACAACAGACCACUGUAUCUCAGCUGCACAAAUCACAUUAAAAAAAAAAAAGGAAAAAAGAAAAAGAAAAAAAAUCCAAACCCAUGCACUUCAAGUAAUUAACCCGCAAGGUUAAUGAAAAGAAGUGAGACAAAAGGUAUAUAAAUAUUUAAGCUACAAUAAAUAAAUAUAAGAAUAUCAGAAGAAACAGGUUUCUAUGUAUUCAGAUAACAAAUAGUGUCUCAAUCACUGAAAUCGGUGCUGCCGCUCUGCGAGCUGCUGCCGUUCCGGCUGUGCAACGACAAGCCUGAGCCGUCGACCCUCUUCUCCUGGAAGAAGCGCUCCCUCUCGACGUGCUUGGCGGGCGGCGGGGGUAUGGAGACUGCGGCUGUCUGCCGUUUGGUUUCGGGGUCUGACGGACUGAUGUUUACCCCCCUAGGCUGGUUCUCAGGAUCGGGUGGUUGUAUGAUUAAGGGGCGAAUAAGGGGCCGGCGCAUCAUUUCCUCGGGUACGGAUUUGUACGACUCGAUAGAAUCGUCGGAGCAGUCUUCCGCGCAAGCUUUCCCUUUUCUUAAUCUGUGGAUUUUUGUAGGAAAAUAGCAUGAUUAACGUCAAAAUCUUGAUAUCGGAGGGGGUAGAAAUGAGAUCUGUGUAUACUGAUGACCACCGAUUUGCCGAUUGAAGAGAAGCAUAAAAUAAUAUUUGGAUUAUACUUUUGGAGUUCAGAAGUUCAUUUCAAGUUCCACAAGAGCUAUGGAAUUUAUAUUUGCCAGCAUACAUCUCUUUAUAGGCAAAGGUAAAGGAUCAAAGAGAAUGAGGACCCCUCUAGAAGAGAUGCAUGCCCAUUUUAGUUACCCUCUCAUUGUUUUCGGCAAAUUUUCGCAUUUCUGUGAUUUAUCGAAAUCUGAAGUCGGCAUCGAUUGUGCAUGCACCAUCAUACCUGAGAUAAAGGCGUUCGGCAUCUUCUUCCUCCUGUUCAUCCUCCUGUUCAUCAUUGAUGCACGAAGCUACGGUAGAGGUCGGACGAACCGAAAGGAGUGCAUCAUGCUGUAUCAGUGCCUCAUGCAGCUGUUCGUUUAGGUCGAUAGCUUGAGUCACAAUAUUCUCAUCCCUAGCAAUAAAAUAAAUACAUCAUAUUAGGAUGUAAAUUGAUGGCAGAAUUCUCCAGAAAGGACAAUCUUGUAAUCGUCGAUAUGUGCUCAAUUGCAGUAUAAUUGAAAUUAAGUCGGGUCUAAUAUGAGAAUCUUACCGCGAUGUCAUAACCAGAUGCAUCACUCGUUGCUUUUGAAAUGAACAUUGCUCUACUAGAUCUAGCACAAACUCAUCUGUUGCUCCCUGAAUAAUAAUAAAAAAUGAAAAAAUACAGGUAAAUCUCAGAUAAGUAAUUCCUAUAAACCAAAUACCUUUCCUCACCAAAUAACAAAAAAAGGGAAAGGGAAAAAGAGCCAACAGGCUCUUAGAAGAAAAAGAAAUAACUUGUUUAGCUGACAAGCAAGGAUUAAAUUGGCGGGGAGAGCGUUAUCGGUUAUCUUCAACACUGCACAAAAAAUGGAAAAAAGUAAGAAAAUUCAAUUAAUAUGUACCUCCGGGCGUUUAGGAUCCAAGGAGUUAAGCACAUCCCUCAGAACUUCCAAGACACUAGCAGCUUUCUGAAUUAUACUGAAAAGAUGAAAAUAUGUCGUUUUAGAAACAUGUCUAGUCUGUGUACAAGUUUAGGUCGAUAACCCGUAUUUAUUUUGUCAACAUUGGGAGUCCAUGAGAGGUUCACACUUUCAUGAGAUAAAAGAAUAUAAACGCAAUACGGCACCUCGAGUCAGGCAUGGCCUGCGAAUUUGUUUGUUUUCCACCGUCAUUUCCUCGGCUAGGCAAAGAAUCUUGAGGAGCUUCGGCUGUUGGAGUCUGUAAUUCUUGUAUGGCAACACGAGGGCGUUGAGGAAAUUGCACAAGAGCAGACUUCAAAGAGGGGGAAAAAAAAUGCUAUUACUUGCAGCUUAAAUUAUACAAAGAAUGCUCUAUAAAGAAAAAGGACCGUUAUAGUUUAUGUACAACUGAAUAAGCUCGACAAAUAAAAGCGAACAAACAAUACGGCUAAUUGAUACAUCUUGCUUAGUUCUUAUAGGCCAAUCUUGGCUAGACAAAAUUGUUUAUGUAUAACUGAAUGAGCUCUCCGGAUAUGAAUGACACAUAAUACUGGAAUAAUCAAUAUCGCCCUGAUUAUAUUCCUCGCUCCAUGUCGUCCGUUGGUUAUGAUGAUAGUGCAAACGAGUUUAAGUUAUUAAACAAACAUGAUAGACGUGGAAAUAUGGGAAAACAAAACAGAAAAGGAGUAAAGAAAUCAAGAAUCGCACAACGGAAGUAGCAUUGAGAUUGAAUCAAAAGAUUAUACUGGCUAUGCAGAACAAAGAAGCAACAAAGUAUAAAUUAAACAUGGAACUUUAUGUCAGGACCUACCACCAAGUCGUAGUAAGCAGCAUAGUAUUGAGGGAAUUUCCCUUUAGCUCCACCUAGGGCCGUUUGAGUGGCAUCGAGAAGAAGAAAUAUUCUUUCGCGUACUGGGUUAUCCGUCUGUUACGCACCAAAAGAAAGAAAAAGAAAAAAUAUCAAACCAUUACAGCAAAAUAUAAUGCAUACGUAAUAGCCUGGAUUAAACUUCCGUUGAAAGAGGCCGAGAAAAAGAAGCAUUCAACCUUUUUCUUCACUAUCUUCACAAGAAUGGGAAGAAGCCCUCUAUCAAUCACCAGUCUGUGGGUGUUCUCUCCGCAGUUAUUCAUAAGCAUUUCUAACAACUGCAACAUCGAAUCGAAAGACAAAAUACGAUUGUUCAUUAUCGUUAGAGUACUCAAAGAAAGAAAAGAGAGUUGGCCAAUUAACAAGACCAUGUUGAAUACAUUUAAAAAGAAAUUAAAAUGUUUUUUUCAUGAUUCAAGAGGAUACUACUGCACACAAAGAAUAAAUGGGCUAUUGGUCUUGUAACAUCAGCAAAACAGCAUGUGCAGUUUAGAGUAAUAGUUUUGGAAAAAUAAAACGAAAGGCGAAACCAGAAACGAAAGUACUUGAGGAAAGAAUACAAAUUUGAAACUCACCAUUACAGCAAAAAGUUGUACAUUUGGGUUCUUGCUCCCUAGUCGUUUCUUAAUGGACUUGAUGACAUCUUUGGCUUGCCUGAUGAUCCAAAGAGGAAGAACUCAAUUUGUUCACAUUGAAAGAUAAAUAAAUGAUCGAGACAAUGUUGAAUCAAUGUUAAAGCUUAUUUGGUCCUACGGGAGCUUCUGCAAAAGUGUUGUUUAAAAAGAGCUGUUAGAAGAAGUGCUAACAACUGUUUUGCUAAAAUCCUCUCAGCUGCUUCUCCACACAAACAAAAGCAAAAGCUUCAAAAUGAAGCCUAUUCUUAUAGGUGGACCCAAAAACUCACUUCAACUUCCCACAAUAGCAAAAUGCCGAGCGUGUUUGGCCCAAAUUUUGCUUCUGCUUUCAGCUGCCACUGUCCCUAAUAGAGUGUUUUUGGCAAACAGAAAUACAAACAAAAAUGUGAUCUUUACGCCCAAAAGCCGAAGAUCCAACAAGGAGCUUAAGAUUCUGCUGCAGAGAGAAACUGUUACCACUACUCAAACAGCAUUUCAUCAAACAACAAUUUUCCCUACAACAGGGCCAGAUAGGCCUAAUAGUUUGCCAAACAAUGGGAUGCUGUUUGUCGGAUUAGAGAAGCUGUUCAAGAAGCCACAUAAACAGGGACCUAAGAUUACAUACCCCGGAUCGCGCGCAACAAGUUCACAUAUUUCAAUGUUCUUUGCCCAAUCGGUCUCCUUUAGCUUAUCGCUUGUCGCCGUUUUCACCAUUUCGGCCGCCAUUUCCCCCACUAAUGCGAAACUUAUCCUGAAAGCAGAAAGCAAAAUUCCAAGACUAGCAAGGUCUAAACAGAAACCCAAUCCUCAAGCCAAAAUGCACUGCUUCCUGCAAAAGCCACAAAGCACAUAUAUAUAACUGAGAGCAUACAACAACAUUAACAACUCUACCAAAAACAGUUUCAAAAUCGCUUCACAGAGAUUGAGAUCCAUCACCAUGCCACAAAACAACCACAAAACUGCACAAAGUUUUCUCUCGACAUACAGAAAAUAUAAAAAAAGAAAAAGAAAAAGGAAAAUUGGAUCUUUCUAAUCACAACCCACUCGACCAACAACAAAACUAUUGUACCAACACCAUCAACAACAAUCUCAACUAUCACCUCCCAUAAACAAUCCAAACAGCAACUCUAACAAUAUAAUUACCAAAAUUAGAGGCCAAAAUUUAGAAAAUAACCCAAUCUAAACCCACCAAGAUCCCACCUUUCCCUCGAAACCAGCGCCCACCCGAGAUCUCCCGAUCAAAACAGAAGCAAAACCUCUUGAAAGAAUCAGAAGUUACCGCAUUUCGACAACUAGGGUUCAGUUCGGUGCCCGCCGGAGUCCACCUCGACCACUACGUCUAGGGUUUGGACCGAGCUAUUGGAGCGGCGGCGGCGGCGGCGGAGGAGGAAGAGGAGGGGACCUCGCCAUCGCCAUGGGAGUUGAGUGAGCUUAUUGAAGAGAGAGAGAGAGAGAGAGAGAGAGAGUGUUUGUGUAGAGAGAGAGAGGUGAAAGGGUUAAAGGAGGGGAAAGGAAGGGGACAGCUCUAGGACAGUCGAUCCCGCAUGUUAAGCACCGUCGCUUGGUGGGGAUAAAUGUAUUGCGUACACCCGGUGUAUGGGUGCACCCCAUGCACCAAUUUUUUUGGAAAAACUUUAAAUACGACCGCAUGGUUUCGUACUUUUUUUUUAAUUUUAGCACCAUGUGGUUUAAUAAAGUGUAUCACUUUAGUAACUGUAGUUUUAGAUUUUUCUUUUUAUUAUCCCUUCACUAAUUAUUUUUUGCUAAAUCAGUAACAAAAUUAAAACUAAAAGGUAUUAAAGUGAAUAUUCGAUAAAUCUAGAUAGGUGUAUCUGAAGUGUUUUGUAUAUAAUUUAACGAAAUGUUAACGGAGAAGCUGAUGAAAAGAGAAACAUGAAAUUACAGAGUACUAAAUUGAUAUACUUUAAACCAUAGGUACUAAUGUGAGAAUGUGUGAAACUACAAAAAUAAUAUUUGAAGUUUAUUUUUUAUUUAUUUAUUUAUUUAUUUAUUUUUGAAUAAACUACCGGGUUCAUACGGAGGAUCGAAGCCCAACCUUUGAGUCCAAGAUCUACAGUUAUAGGGCCUAUUUAUUUUACCAAAAAUAAAGUUUAUAUUAAAAAUAAAGAAAUAAUUGCAUAUAGUUCGCUGAAAAGAUAGUAAAUAAUAAAUAAAUCUCUAUAAAACUUAAGUUAUCAAAUUUGUCCCUUCAAAAAUCCUUCCGUCUGUAAAUAUAUUCUUUUGUUGCCAAAAUCUAGAUAAUCAUGAGUUAAAAAAACUAGUUAGUUAAGAAAUAAAAUGACUUUUUUUUUCAUCUGUUAUAUACAUAAUUUGUAUUUCAAUGUUGAGUCUCGUCGUCUUUCUCACCCUUUUCUUUUUAUCCAUGGCGGUGGCAAGAUCUAUAGCAGCAGCGAUGUUGAAGGCAAGGCCCUCGAUUGAGGCAAAAAUAAGGUACGCCGCACGUGCCACGACGAAGGCUAGGAAAGAGAGAAAAAAAUUAGUUUUUUAAAUGGACAAAUUUAUAAGUGCAAAAUAGUUAUUUUGUGUAUCAAUCAUUAAAAAAAAUAAAGGUGAAUCAAACGGCAUGAUAUAUAUGAAUGAAUUAGAAUUUUUGGAGGGAUAUAUUUGUAAAUCGGAGAGUUUUUAAAAAGAUAAAUUUGAUAACUUAAGUUUUGUAGGAAUAUAUUUACUAUUUGAUACUUUUGCAAGGAUCUGUAUAAAAUUAACCCUAAAAUAAAUUUGAGGUGAACUAGUGCUCAAUUAAAAAAGUAUUUUUUUUGGCCGUUUAUUUGUAUAACUAUGCAACUGAAGUUCUUCUAAUUUUGCCGUCUAUUUUAGCACGAAGUGAACUGCACAAAAGCUAGAAAUGUGAAAGGUGGAUUUUCAUUUUAUUACUUUUUUCCCUCACUUUUUCUUUGGUAAUUGACUAUAGUCUGCAAUCGGUCGAAGUCAAUUACGAUGUUUUGAUAAGUUUUGAAUUUUCGAUCGAAAAUGAAGUUACAAUAAAACAAAUAAUAAAAAUGAGCAUUUAUAACCAAAAAUUAGUUUACUCCUCUCCAUUUUCGGUAAAACAAACACACCCUUAUAUGUUUUGUCGUUAAUACUAUAAAAGCUAAAAUUUUAAAAAAAAUCUUCUAUAAAUAUUUGCUUUUAUAUAUUAUCAUUCUAUCUUUUCAAAAUUUUUAUUUUGCCAUCUUAAAAUUUAAAAUUAUCGCAUUUAAUCUAGUUAACAAUAUGUCACUAUUCC